GUUUGUUCAAACCAAUAUUGUUGGGAGGGUUUGAUCCAACCAUAACCACCGAUGGAGGGAACCGUGGAGUAAUCUCCGCUGUCAAGGAAGUAAAGAUUGAGAACCGAUUUGUUUUCAAAACCAGAGCCCUCAACUCCGGCGACCUCUAGGUUAUAGUUCCCAAAACCAUCAAUAACAUCUUGGUCUAAAAGAUUAACUUGAGCCAAAGUGUUCUCCAACCCAACUAUGUGUUUCAUUACCCCUUCCCUCGAGAGGUCGGAUUCCUGAUCAUGGUUCCCCAACACAGCUGCCCACGGGAUGUUAGACGCGAUUGCUGGGGCGUAUACCUCGUUCAAAGAUUUAGCACCAUUCGUGGCAUCAAACCCGAAUAUGUUAUCUCCUGUUACACAAAGUUCAGAUUGGAGAAACAAUAAAAAAGCCGAGUAUCAUGGCUAAAUCAAAACUUUGCUAAACAAAAUCCAAUGAUCAUCAGCUAAAACGAUGUCCUAGCUAAACCAAAACCAAUGAUCAUCAGCUAAAUAGUGGACAAAACAUUCUGUUUUGCAUCAAUGUCAUUGUCUAUAAACAUCACCAACAAUGAUUGGGGGGGGGGGGGGGGACAAAUACCGGUGAAGACAAUGAGAUUCGGCUUCUCCGCCUCGAUCAUGCGGAGGACAAAGGCGAUGGUGUUGAGGUCAGAGCAAGUUGGAAACUGGGACGGCAGCACAUCCAAACAGGGCGUGGUCUUGCCAUCGGCAUAGUGCAUCCGCCACUUGCAGAAUCUUAAACUGCCCAUCUGUCCCAAACCUCAGCUUCUUCUCCCCACCUCCACCUUGUUGGUGGUGUUGUUGUUCUGCGGCGGCCAAACCUAUAUCGGAAGCAGCGCCACCCCCACCACCACCGCUAAAAAUGGACUCCUUACCACCUCCAUGUCCCUCUUCAUCCUCACUGUCACUGCACCACUCUCAUCUCCACACCAGAGGCACUGAACCACCAUUAUAAACUCACCAGUUGCACCAAGCAAAAACUCAGUUUUAACUUUUUCUCGGCAACCAAACAAAAAAUCAGUCUCAGUCUGACAAGAGUUUAAUAUUAAUAGUAAUCGUUUAAAUAAGAGAUGAUUUAAGAAAAUCCUACAUCCUUUCAAUUUCUAUGCCUAUAUUAUCUGUUCACUGUGUUAUUUGACUCUUUGUUAAAUAUCUGUCUGUGUAAUUAAUUAAGCACUAAUUACAAAAAAAGUGAUAGAUUUAGAAUCACUGUAAGCAAGGACGAAUCCACAUAAGGACCUGGGAGGUCCCAGGAUCCGUCGGCGAUCCUAAAUCACUGCUCGAAAUUUUCCGGGGACCUCUCGUACUCGAGCAUGAGGUCUGUGCAGGUUGUAGGUUGUAGGUUGCAGGUUGCAGUGGAUGUCUUCUUCUCAGAGAAGAUGACCGCGCACGGAGAAGAAAGAAAAUAGGGAUCAUUCCAGCCUCUCUCCUCCUUGCUUCUGCCAUGGUCUCAUCCAUCGGUGCCACCCACUUCUCCUCCAACCUUUCUUUGUCGUCUGGCGGGGCAUUACAUAAGCCCAAAUUUCUCCAAAUUAUUUCAACCACCUUAGUAAUUUUUCUUAUAGGUGAAAUUUCCUACAUAAGGUUAGUAAGAUGGAUAUAAUCUGUCAUGGGUUGAUGAAAUUUGGGGGUGGAGCUACCAUGGCUUAGGGAGAAUGGGGAGGGAGGUGGUUGGUGGAGUAUGACAGCUGUGUUCUUAGUGAGAGAGAAAGUGGAUGUUUGGAAACUAGUAAAAGAGAAAAAUGGUGUGUUUGGUUAGAAAGAUAGUGGGAGUUUGGGGAGAGUUUUAUUUGACCGGUGUUUUAAAUUUAGCGGUCCAUAUUAGAUAAUCAAUAACUUAGGUACUUCAUAGUAACUUAUGAAACCUCGUAAUGGACGCUUGAAUUAUGAUUUUAUAAUUUGUAAUAUUGUUUUGCAUAUGAUUUUUGAAUGAAAUGUAUUAUAUUUAAAUUUUCAAUGUUGUUUUUGUCGAUAAAUUUUUUGACCUUUAUUAUUGGGACCCCCCGAGUGUAAAAUCCUGGAUCCGUCACUGACUGUAAGCAUAUUCCCCAGCGGAUUAGAUACAAUCAUACAAGAUGUAGUGUCAUCAGUGCAGCUUUGUUAUUCGUAAACUCACACUUAGUUUUCUUAUCGCAAUAGAGUUUGAAGUAAACUCUUGUUUGUCCACAUGUACAAUAUGCCUAACUGUAUGAGGAAUAUACUAUUCACACACAUUUUUUUACUUCUUACAUAUUCUUUUUAUUUUUGACCUCGAAUCAGAUUCAAAUGACAGAAAUUAACUAAGAGUGUGUAAGAAUUAAAAAGAAGUGUGUGAAUAGCACACACCUCAACAAUAUGCAGUAACAACUAACACGCCAGCAUGUGUGCCAACCACACUAAAUAAAAAGGGGUAAUGCGAGGGCGACUAUUUUUUAGGUUUUAUUUUGUAAAUCGUAUAACACGGUUGUUCAUGAUUAGAUUAUAACUUAAGUGUUAAUUAAUGCGUUUAUUUUUUAUUUGUGACAUAUCACAUGAUUUGUAAAUGUGGUUUAAAAAAUUAGUCUACCCUAGUGGUAAAUGACGGAUUACGAGACUUCCUUAAAACUAAAAAUUAGAGGUCUUGGGUUUGAAGCUCGUUAUUGGUGUGGAAGCUAGACUUGUGGCCAGGGGGAAGGACCAGGAUCCUCGCCAAAUCCUUCUCUGCAUAUUAAAGAAAGUUAAGGUUCCACCAUAAAACUAAUUGGCAAUAUGGGGAGUAGGCCAACCUCUUAUAAGCCCAUGCAAGGUCUUUUUUCUCAUUAAUGUGGGAUUUAUUCUCAACACGCCCCCUCAUGUGCGGCGAAUUUUCAAGCCUAACACAUGAACAACACAACAAGAUGACGUGAAGCACGUGUGGCCGUUUGGCUUCACACUUGGGAUAACCUGCUCUGAUACCAUGAAGAAAGUUGAGGUUCUACCAUAAAACCAAUUGAGGAGUAGCACAACCUCUUAUAAGCCCAUGCAAGGUCUUUUUUCUCGGGAUUCAUUCUCAACAUGCCCUCUCAUGUGUGGCGAAUUUUCAAGUCUAACACGUGAACAACACAACGGGAUGACUUGAAGCGCAUGUGGCUGUUUGGCUUUACACGUGGAUAACCUACUUUGAUACCAUGAAGAAAGUUGAGAUUCCACCGUAAAACCAAUUGGCAAUAUGAGGAGUAACGCAACCCUUAUAAGUCCAUGCAAGGUCCCUUCACUCAUCAAUGUGAGAUUUAUUCUCAACAUACAAACAUACAGUGGGGAUCAAUCCAUCCGAACCGUUCAGCUCAUAUCCUACGGCCCAAGAUUAUUUUGAAUUUUUUUUUUCAGCGUCUCCAUUUCUCAUUUUCUCUCCCUUCGUCCCCAAACUCCUCGACAUUCUUUUUUCUUCUCCCAGUCCAAAAGGCAAAUAGGAAGGAUUAAUCAAAGAAUUAACCCAUCAAACAACCCAAAAGAGCAAAGACUUCUCAUAUACCCAAGAAUUAAUCCAUCAAUUUCCCAAAAACCACAAAUAAAAUCUUUAGCGUCUGCAGUGGUUUCAAGCUAGAAUAGGGGGAAAAUUAACGGAAAUGGAUUUGGGAAAAAUUUAAGAAUUCGAAUUUUACAAAUUGGUCCGAUAGGCAUAUCAUUCGGCCCGCUUCAUUUUCCCCUUCGAUCCCUCCGCCGGUGACCAAUCCAGUCUUCGUACACCAUCAUUGUCGGUGGCAGCAAGAGGGAGACGGGCCUGCUGGUAGCGAGGGCGAAGGUAACGAGUUCUGCGCUGUGCCUUUCCCUUCGUCCCCCAAACCUCUGCUGAGGAUUACUUGGUCGUGAGGGCAAGCUUGCAAGGGUUGACAGGUACUGAGUUGGGUGAGAGAGCAGGAAAGGAAAAAGAAGGAAGAGGCAGUGCUAGCGCCUUCUUUCCUCGGGACAUAAAUUGAAAAUAUUAGAGGUCGCACGAUUUGCAUCUGUUUUGAAUCAACGGCCACGAUGAUGUUGUUCGCUGGCUCUGUCUAGAAAACAUCUGGAUGGUAUCUGAGUCUCAAGGGAAGGGAUGAAUAACCAUGGUUUGCCACUAAUUGUCUCCCUUUUUAAAGAAAAAAAAAAUAUUACUCAUAAAACGUUUUAGAGUAGGAUUAUCUCCUUUCUUUUUUUGCCUCCCCUUCCCUCUCCUCCUAUUUGAACGGUCACGGUUAAGCCACACUAAUAUCUUGUAUUAAUUUUUUAUAGAAAGAUAAAUACAAAAUAAAGAAUGUGAGAGGAGAUGAUGAAAGGGGAUAGAAAUAGGAGGGUAGAUGAUCCUAGUCCAAACAUUUUAGAGAUAACAUUGAAUACAUAUAAUAAGUUAAUAAUUAAUGAGCAUGAGGUGUACCCACUACUCAUUGGGGGUAAAACAUGAAUGAAACAUUCACUCAAAGCUUGCUUAUGUAGCAAGUUAAUCAAAGAGUUAAGUUUGAAGAUAUACAAUUUUUGAGUUUUUACUAAAUACACUAUCAAAAUUGGACUAAAUUCAACUUUUCUAUACUAAAAUUACAUCUGCAGCACUCAGUACUAUGGUUUGUAGUAUUCUUUUCACUUGUAAGUGAGAGUCUUAUAUUCGAUUAUUGCCAAAGGAGAAUUUGAACAACAUUAUUAGCCCACUCCCAAACCUUUAUUAUAGAUCAUAUCGUUUGUUCAAACAACACUUAAUUUUUUUGUUUAAAUUGUUUUUUGAUAACCAAAUUUUUUUUUUAUGCCACGUGAUCAAAUUUGUGGGUCAUGUAUUUGUCACGUAAUCACUUAACAGUUUAACUAAUGAAUAUAUGAAAUUGUAACAAAAUAAAAGUUUGUAUAUGCGAUUGAAAUGUUUUAAAAUGUUGUAUGAGGUUACAAUUGCACUCAAAUUCGAAGAAGUAAAAUGCAAUUUACACAAAUAUAAAUGAUAAUACUAUUGUUAUCGUGGCAAAUUGAGCAAAGUAGCACCGAAGUGAUGUCGUUUAGUCAUCCUGUUUCCUAUUGGGAUAUCUAGAAUCCAGCAAUCGAAUUCGGACUUGAGCUCGAGUUUUUUGGCAAUUUGGGUUUUAUUUGUUGGUUGGUGAAUUACUGAAGCUGAUUUGAAUAGAAAAGAUUGAGAAUUUUGAGAGAAUCGAGCUUCCGAUUACUGCGGCGAUGUCGGGUCAAAUGCUAAAGAAAGUUUUGAAGGAACAAGAAGAAGAAGACCGACACGUAAUAGAAUCCGAAUCAGAAGGAGAAGCAGAAAGCCAGCAGCUCAAUGGAAAAGCUAAAAUCAAUCCCUUUGACCUCCUCAACGACGGCGGCGAUGACGACGACCACCAGGUUCACUUUUUUAAUUUAAUUCUUAUUUUUUUCUUUUUAGUGGAUUUAAGAAAAUGAAAGGAAUUCUAAUUUAAAUGGUAAAAUUUUGUUGAUUUUUGCGUUCAAUGUGCUGAGUCAUCAUCGAGCUGUGAUGGGUUGGUGUUGGAUACUGUAAAAGGUUUUCCUUUGGAUUUUUUAAAGGAAAAAUUAGUAUUCGGUACCUAGUUCUUAAUGUUUAUUAACUAAAACUUUAUUAGUUAUCAAAUUUUGAUUCAAGUCCCUAGCAUUAAUGUGAUAAUGAAUUUACAUGUUUAUUAAAUAAUUUUUAAAUAUAAAAAUUAGUAAUUAAUUUAAGAUUUAAUACUCACACCUCUAUUAAACUUCUAAUUAAUUUUCAAUUCAAACAUUUCCAAAAUAAUAAAAAAUUAAUUAAAUUAAGUUUGUACCUAUGAGUUUUUAUAUAUAUAUAAAAAGAUUCUCAAUUUUUAAUCUUAAAUGUACCCAUUCAUAUAAUUUUUCAAUUUUUUUUAAUCUUAAAUAUACCCAUUCUCAAAUAUAUCAAUUUGUUAUAUGUAAAAUGUACCCUUUUUAAAUAUAAAAUCCAUUCUAAUUUUUUAAUCCAUGUUUAAACUUAUAUGGAUAUAUUCUUUUUCGUUGAUUUGAGAAUGUAUCCAUGUAUUGGUACAAUAACUUUUUUUAUUAAUUUUGGUUAAUGUACCCAUACAUAUAUGUAUAUAUAUACACACACACAAUAUAAUAGAGAGUAUAAUUUAUAUUUUAUUAUUUUUAAUCCCAUAAAUUAUGGGUUUUAUUUAAAAUCUCAUUAAUAUAAACAAUUACAAAUUUCAAUUUUUAAUUUUUAAUUUAAAAAAUAUAGUAACUUACAUUAUUAUAUUAAUGUCAGGGACCUUAAUCAAAAACUAAAAACUAAUAAGGUUUCAAUCAAAGAAUAUUGAUGGCUAGGGACCGCAUCCAAAGUGUCCCUUUUUUAAAUAUAAAUCUCUUACGAGACUGAAAGUUUGAAACUGUAUCACUUGAGUUUGGUAACACCCAAGUGUAGCACCUUGUACAGGACAAACUGGUUGACGAUCAUGUGAAAUUAUGCAGUACUCUUUACUGAACUGUAUCACUUAAGGGUGUGAACAUUAUUUAUGCUCACAGCUUAGAGUUUGUCAGACUAGGAUUUAUGAUAUGUGAUCUCGCGUCCUUUUGGUGUCAUUUUGAUUCAUGCAUCAUCAUCUGGAUUUUGAUCGUACGUGCAGAUACGUACAUUCCUCAUCCUACAUGAUAUCAAUGGCAUUGCAAGUAUUUUGUUAUACAAUCCUUAUCAUUUGGAUUCGCUUAUAACCAUGGCAGAGUACUAUUAAGUUUUCGGGUGAACAUCAAAUAUCAGCACAACUUAUCUCGAAGUGCUUAUAUGCUUUGGAAUGUGCAUGGAAUCCAAUGUUCACACCCUUGCAGGGCAAUUGCCAACUAAAAUACAGCCAUGAAACAAACAAGCCUCUCUGUUCACGCUACUUUUUACUCGCAUGAGAAAUAUGGAUAGGCGUGGUUGCCAUCGAUCUGCUUUACAAGUUUGCAAGUUGUUACUUUCACUAGAUUCAGAUGAUCCAAUGGGAGCCAUGUUCUACGUUGACUAUUUUUCGUUGAGGGCAGAGGAGCAUGCAUGGCUAGAACGGUUCUCUGAAGAAUAUAAAAGUGAUAACUCCUUAUGGUUGUUUCCAAAUUUUUCAUAUUCCCUCGCCAUUUGCCAUUUCUAUCUUGAGAAGGAAGAAUCUUCAAAAGGUGCACCGGAAAAUGCCAAGUCUACUUCAGCUGAUCUUAUGAAAUAGGCAUUGAUGCUUCACCCGUCAGUCUUAAAAAGAUUAGUGGAAAAGGUACCUUUGAAGGACAAGGUGUGGGCGCGGAUACUCAAAAUCCGUAUUUUCAAGCAGAUCAAGUAGGAAUCCCAUCCUUGGAUCACCUAACAAACAUAUAUGUUGAGAGGAAUUUUCUUCUAUGGAGGCUCCCAGAUCCGCAUGAUUUGCUGAGGGAUGCUGCACAGCUUGUGACAGAGACACUAAGACAUAAUGGUAGCAAUAAGGACGAUUGGGCAUGCAUGAGAAAAGAAGCAUUCUCAUCCGAGAAAAACGAGUAAGUGUGCGGUAACAGUUUUGCAUUUCGGCUACUUCUUUCCUAGUAUUUUGUUUAUCACUGUUGCGUAAACUUACAAAGUUAUAUCUGCUUAUGUUAAGCCUGAAUUUGGUGGAAUGACUGACUGCUUGCUUGUUUGCUAUAGGUACGCCCACUUGUUAGUUUCAGAUUUCUCUGUCAGUGCCAGAGAUAAAGAACACAACCUUCCAAUACGAUGACCAAGGCGUGUUGUAAGGUUCUUUAAUACAAGCUCGGGCUCAUGACUGGUUGGAUUUCCAUGAUUCUGCAGGUAUAUCAAAUAAACAAUAAGGAAAACAAAAUAAAUAUACAUGUGUACACAUGUGCGCACACACGCAGAGACUAUAAAUCACAAUCUAACAGUGAGACUAUAAACUGUAGGAUUUAUUGUUGUAGUGUAUAUAAGUUUCUGAGUUUAUAUGUAUCCUCUUUUUUUUUUAAUUUGAAGAAGCUGAAAACUCUUCCGUGUAGCAUGUGUAAAGCAAAGAGGCUAGCAUCAAAGGUUAGUGUUGAGAUAUGAAAAACAGAAUGUGACCAACCUUGUAACAAUCUAAAAGUUUUUGUCAUCAGAAACAAAGCUUGAGGGAGCACUAGUAACACAACAAUACUAUAGAACCCUUCAAAACGAGACAGAACCAACCUGGUUCCCUGCGAUUGGUGUGCACAACAAUUAGAGAAGUGAAGUCUUUCUUAUUUGCAUACUCUACGAUCUGCAACCAAAGCCAGAAAACAUACAUAUAUAAAUUGUUCGAAUUUAACGAUCCGCAUAUUGAAAAGAGGAGGGGGAGGGAGGGAAUUCCGAAAGAAAGCACCUUUUUCAAGUCAUAUGUUCCUCUUUUAUAGUAGGUUGCAUUUGGGAUCACGGAAGGUAGUUCCUUUAUAAACUCAGGCCCCCUCUGCAGACCCGAAAGACAAAAAACCGUAAACCAAAUAUAACCUAAACAAAGAAAUUCCCUUACCACAUCAAAUACGGAAUGCUGUAAAAAAUCAGGGGAGAUGGAAUGUACAUACAGAAGAAUUGAAACGGCAAGUAAUAUCUUUGGAUUCAAUUCGCACUUUAAAAUCGAACUGAAUUCAUCGGCAUCAUUUCCAGCAAACAGCUGCAAUCCAACACACAACACAAAGCCGAAAUUAACCAAACCAUCAUUCAAUUUUCCACGCAUAAAAAACAAAUCUUUUCACAUUUGCAACAUUGUAAGCCAGUCAAGCACAAUCAAAAGGUGCAAAAACGAACCUCUUCGUCGUCGGGCUUACAAACAGUCUCAUCGACUUCCCUGGUGUUCUUAAUCGUCUUCGGGAUCUUCUUUGCCGGGGGCUACAGAGCGCAAUUAACAACACUAAUUAGCUAAUCAUACCAAAAUUAAACAUCAAUUAACAAUUAAAAUACCAAUUUAUCAGUUCAUAAAUUCACAAUUGGCAUAAUUACCUCCUCGCCGAGCUCGAGAGCACGCUUCUCAGCAGCGUCACGGGCCUUGGCCUUCUUGCGCUUCUCGAGCUUCUUCUGCUGCUUGAGCUUGGCGUGGACCGCCGACCUCUUCUCCUUGUUCUUUAUCAUCGACGGCAGAAUCUCCAUCUUCCUCUCCGGCGGUGGUUCUUCUCCUCCUCCGUCGCUUUCGCUUCGCUUCCUCCUGUUAUUAUUGCCUCCCAUUCUCGCAAUUGCUCAAUCGAGAUACCGCAGGUAGCUGAUAGCUCAGAUCACCUUCUUCAAUCUCGCGUUAGGAUUUUUGCUCGGCCACAGUAAAAGCCACCAGGGUUUAUCUAGUUAUUGCCUGCUCCUCCCCGCACCGUAUUUCGCUCGUGUUUUAAACUUUUCACCUUUUAAACCAGUAAUUUGCAAUUUUAUUUUGGGAGUUUUAACAAAACAUUUCUAGUCCUGUUCAUUUUUAAUGAAAAAUUACAUUUAUAUAUUUUUCUGGUAUUAUUUAUUAUAUCUUUAAAAAGGGUUUUUCAUUAAAAAUAAAGUUUUUUUGGAUUUUUUGCUAGUUUCCCUUUUUAUUUUACUUUUGUUUUGUUUUGGGUAAUGCGAAAUAAAUAAAAUUUACAAACCAAAUGAUAUGUUAUUAAUAGAAAUAAGUACGUUAAUCAAAACUAAUAAUAAUCAUUAACCACAACGUUAUCUAGUUUAAAAAGAAUUGAUUUAAAAAUUUAAUCACACUAGCAUUGAACUUAUAAGUGGCUAUCAAUUUUUACUUUGCACUUUUAUUUUACCCAAUUUAUACCUCCAAAUUUUUAUAAAUAGCUAAUUAUCUUCUCAAGGUCCAAAUUUUUAAAAUUUCAUCUAUUUUUUUGUCCAUAUUUGUUAUGUGAAUAACAUAUGAACUACUUAAAAGGGUAACAAUGAAAUUUUAUAGCAAUUAGAUAAGUAGUUAUACAAGGAUCGAUAGAAUAUAAGACAAGAAGAGGGAGAAUUAGGUUUCAAGCAGUGAGUUUUAGUAAGGCAAAAAGUCGUAUUUACCCUCGACAAAAAUUGGGAUAAAACACAUGACUGUUUAAUGUAGGCAUAAUUGGAUAUAAGUCCACUUUUGUAAAGCCAUUAUUAAGUUUAGUCCAAUUUUGUGAUAUCGUUGUAACGGAUCCAAUGACCGAGACUCCACGUUAGCUUAUUUUUAUUUUGUACCAAAUUUACUCCUUAUGCUAUAAAUUGAAUGAGGAUCUUCUCUGGAUUCUCUUUGUGAGGAUCUUAGAGAUUCUCCAAUCGUGUUAGUUUAUUAUAUGUCAUACCGUCAGAAAUCAUUGUAAAUUUUUUAUUUAAAAUUAAAUAUAAAAAGUAUCUGAUGAAAACCGGUCGCACGAUGUACGAUAAACAGACACAAUUGAAGGAUCGGAGAGGAUCCACAUUCCUAUAAAUUGUAGUAAGUACACACAAGGUUCUAAAGGACGCUAGUCGAACAUCGGGCUGGGGCUUAGCGGAGCUUAGGUGAAAUAGGCGUAUUUAAGUAAAUUUAUUAUAUAUCAUAUAUAAAUAAGCGUCUACAUACACAUAAUAUAUAUAUAUAUAUAUAUAAUUUCAUUGGGAUACAUAAAUACUAAAUAGAAGGACACAUAGAUUAUAAAGUGUUGGAAUAUAAUAAAAACAUGGGGAAUAAGCAUAUAAUGUAUAUUCAUCUAAAUAUUCAACAAGUCUCUUACAAUUUAUUGAAGAAAAAAAUGCAAAAUGGAAGUUAUCUAUUUUCUAUCUAAGUGAGAAUCGUGAUCUAGGCAGGUGCCUUGACGGGUCUAGCCGGGCUAGGCGGGUGCUAAGACGGUCUAGGAGGGCGUCUAAACAGGUCUAGGCACCCUUUCUUAAUUUUCAAACGUCUAGGGAUUAAUCGAUAUGGUGGCUAACAGUUUUAGAAUAAUGAGUACACAUAAUCACCUAAUUAUAGGAUUAUUUGUGGUUGAACUAAUAUCUUAAUUGUAGGAUUAGUUAUUAGCAAUGUAAUCCUCUCAACCCCGUAGCUAAUUUGAAAAAAAAAAAAAGGGUUUUCAAAUGGGUAAAUUAUUGCUGGAUUAUUGUUUGUGUUUGUGCUUAUGUUUGAAACGGAAUGGUGAUGAUGAGAGCAAUGGCAACCAUGACACACAGACCUGCGGAGAUGUUGGGGAUGAAAGGAAUAAAUCGGUUGUUUGGAUGCAUGUCUUCCUUAAACACGAGGGUGUUUGGUUGUUAGUUUUAAUAAAGAAAGUGGGACACGUGUUUUAACUCUACGGAGCUACAUUGUAGUCAGUGAAAAAUGGGUACUGCCUAGCCAGUAACCAAGUAUUGUCCUUUAUUUACAUCAAGGGGCAUGCCUAGUGGCAUUGGACCACUUUCUUGAUCUUGAUCAGCUGCUUGUGUCUGUUUGAUCAUCAUUUCCUUUUGAUCCUUGUUUUUACCCCACAGUAAAAUGUACAUGCCAGUUAUGACAGUGACAGAUCCCACCACGCUGGUAAAUUAAAUGCCAAAAUUUAAUUAGCAAUGGGUUAAUAUGAAGAUAAUCAAUAUUAAUUAUAUGUCAAAUAUAAUUGAAUGAAUAAUUACCUUCCGAGGUAAAUUUGUCCGUGCAAGAAAGAGAAUUCCAACAUAGCCACGAACAUCUGGGUGGCGGGGGUAAAUGCUGCUGUGAAGAGUGCACCCUUUUGUUUCACACACCAUGACAUCCCUACGUAGCACAACCCUGAUCCUACUAUUCCCUGCAACGUCAAUACACAUGAAACCCUAAUUAGUUCUUGAAGAAUUCUAGAUCAUAGCAUUUGAAUGGAUUACUUGAUGAAAUCGAAAUAAUCCAACACAUGUACUAGCUGUUAAAACAGUAGCUGUUAGCUAGAAGGAGAAACCAUGCAUGUUAGAAAACCAUUAAACCCUAAAAAGCUCAAGCUCACACUGGCUAAGAAAGAUUUGAACGGUGAAGAUUAUAGUAGAUGCAGAAGAAAAUACUUACAGUAUAUGCGACACUUAAGAUCUCCAACUUUCCCUUGAGAAUCCACAUUGACAUGGCGAUGUGCCUCUGCGUAAUGAAGCACAAGAUGGCGGAUUGAAUGACGCUGAAGAAGGACAAAAUCGCGGUGCUAGCGUACUGAAAAGGGUAGCUCUUGCCGAUCUUUGCUUGGAUGAGGAACCAUGAAGACCACAAGAGGCAGCCUGAUGCCAAAAAUACUGAACCCACAGCCCACCUAUCACUCUUCUUGGCUGAUGAAAAAGUCGUUGUAUUGGCAUGGUUUUGCAUUUGAACUGUAGAUUCUGAAUGUUGGUUGGUUAAUGGCAUUCCUUUGUACAAGAUCAAUGACACAGCUCCACCAAUACAUAUUAGGGCACCGAGGACUUUAGCGAUCCCACCCUUUUUCUUUAUGUUCACUUUCUCUAGUCUGGAAACUCAAGUCCAAAAACCAAGUUAAUUCCCAUAACAACAUGUUUACCAACUUAGAAUACGAGAAGUUGUGAAUGGAGGAAUGCAAAACAUGAGAGAAAAUGAAUGAGUAUGGGAUCACUAUGCACAGUCCCUAAUAAAUCUAGUUUAAAGUGUUUCAGGUAUCGGUUUACGAAUUGUAAUGUGAAACUCACAUGCCUUUCGGUUUGCAUGUAUAUUUUUAAACAUAGAGGAGAUUCAAAGUCCGAAUUAUUCCAAUACCCAUUUCAGAUAACUAAUCAGACUAAUAACUUAUUCUUUGUACUUUACCCAAAUGGUAGAGCCAAGAGGAAAGUGUUGACGGGCACCAUGUUGAUGAAUGCACAGGAAUAUGUCGCAGAGGUGUACUGAAGUCCAAGAAGAAAUAAGUAAUGCGUGAAAGUUAUCCUGAAAGACACAAGUAUUUGCCAAAAAAAAUCACAUAAAAGAUAACAUCAAAUGAAAUAACAUAAAAAAAUAAAUCAAAGAAACCUUAAAGUACCACUACUAACCCAAUUAGAGCACUGAUGAAAAGGUGGCAUAAGAUUUGAGAUGUAAGCUCUGUUCUACUUUUCCUGCAAAAAAAAAAAAAAAUCUAUAUGCUUAGUAAUAGUUGCUAAUACCAUAUUUACUAAUCAUAUUUUUCACAGAGUUGAGACGACUAGCAAAUUAAUAUGAUACAUAUAGAAACAAAUCGUAAGUCUAUAAGGUUUUACCUCUCCCAAAAGAAAGCAAUUGGUGUCAAGAAAACAGCAGAAAUCGACUGUCGAUAAGUAACAAUAAUCAAACCGCCUAAUCCACCAUCAAUAGUCUUCUUAAGCAGAAUAUUUACUAUAGCAAAUGCAAGGUUAAUGACCAGCAUGACAAAAUAGACUUCCAUUUUCCCCAGCAAUUCAUCGUAAUUAUAUAGAAGUAUUUUGUUUCAAAGCAUAAUGCAGUAAGUUAUUAGACUCGUUCUGUGCUUAUAUACAUUUAUAGGUAAACCAACCAGCUUCCUUCCCACAUACAUGGGGUGGCUAUGAAUGGUUAAUAUUCUUGGCAUCAUUUCCUCAGGUUGAUGGCAAUUUUUUUUUCCCACAACUUUGUCGUAAAAGUUAAGCAAAGAAUCAAUUAACAAGCUUCUUCUCCUAUUAGUUUAUCACUAUCUAUGACCUCAGAUAAAUAUCAAUUCCACAUUUCAUUUUAUUUAUAUUUCUUUUAUAAAUAAGAGUAUUGUUCUUGAACACUUUUUAACUUUGUGACAUUAUUUUGUAAUAUAAAUAUUAUAAUCAGAACCGUUCAUUAUCUUUUUCAUCAUCUCAAGAUCAUUUACGAAAAAAUUCACUUGAUUUGAAAGCCUUUUAGUAGUCCAUAAGAAUCAAACAGAUUGAUGUUUUAUUAUGAUUAUAUUAUAAUUUUUCUUUUUGGGAUCCUCGACGGUACAAAAUUUUUUUUAUGAUAACGAAAAAACAAGUUACACCUAUUUACGAUGACAUAAAUUUUACUCUUCAUAAAACAAAGAUAAUAAAAAAGAAUGCACGAAAAAGAAUGGAGACAUAAACCUUACAUUUCUUGAAACAAAAACAAGACUGAUACAAACAAAAACAAAGUAAUACGAGCCGCCGGUAGACGAGAAUUAUGUCAUGUUAAAAUUGAAGAAGACAAGUCCAUAUUAAUAAAAUUAUCCACGAAAAGAUUUUCUUCACGUUUAUACGAUUUUCUGAUGUAACGUUAAAGAAAAUAUAGCUUUUUACGUAUAAAAAGCAAAAGCAUUGACCGUUCUCUUGGUUCUUGCCAGUACACCUUUUUCUUUUCUUUUGAAUAAUUUAUGGGAGAUUAAUGUGGACGAAACAAUACUGCAUCAAUGAGCAUCUUUCCGAAAAGCAUUGGUGGCUGAUAUGAAUACACUAGCUACCAUUUCUUCAAAGUAGUAUCCAAUACUUCAUGUAAAGAAUGCAAUAUUACUAUUGCAUUGAUUUGAAGAACAAUAUGUCACAUUUUUACAACAAAAAAAAAAAAAAAAAAAAAACAAUAUGUCACAUGUUAGAAAAAAAGAUAUAAACAUAUAUAUAUAAAGCUAAUGGUUUCUUUUUUUGGUCGAAGAAAGCUAAUGGUUAUUGCUGGCUAGGUGGAUGGACAGGCCAUUUAUUUUGUUAUUUAAAUCAUAAAACAAUGCUGCUGAUGUGCCAAACGCACGCCUAAAAUGGUAAUAUACAUACAUACAUACAUACAUACAUACAUACAUACAUACAUACAUACAUACAUAUAUAUAUAUGUGGUUAGUAGUAUCCAGAAUCCAUCUGAUAUGUGUGUGACAGUAUAGAAAAGCAGUGCAGGCAGAGGCCUUUCGUUACAUCAAAUUAUGAUCAUAUGCAGACUCAAACUAGCCACUAUGUGAAAGUAUAAGGGCCUAGCAAAAGAAAAAAUUGGAUAGGAUCCUAUAGGAUCUACCCCUUUCAAAAACCGGACGUGAACGUUUCCUCUCAUCCAGCUCAAGUAGUUACACCAAAUAAAGAUAUAUCGUUUUUGUGUUUUUCAUAGUUAACUCUAAUGAUCCGAACUCUUAUCGAGUACAAAGUUAACGCAACCACCCAAUAAGGUUUAAAAGUAAGAAUGAAAGUUUACUUGUUUAGAAUAGAGAAAGUUAUGAAUCAAGAAAGUCGGAAAUAGGGAAGAGACAAGGAUAACUAGUGCUACCUAAUCAAUCUAAUAUCUAACCAUAAUAGUUUUGGUACCCAUAUGUAACAUAUCCAUUCCAUAUACAUGCCAUUGAAGUAAACUCCAUAUCGUGCAAUUUGCAAUCAUCAACUAACUACACGUAUGUACUAAUUAAAUUUAGAUGUUUAUGCAUGUAGGAGGAUCCAAACCUACUAAGACGUAUGAGUUUACAACUCAGCACACAAUCACCCCUUUACGUACCAUUGAAGCAUUUCACUAGUGUAGUUUAGCUCCAUUGAAUUGUUUUGUUAUUAAGAUAUGGAUAAAAACCCUUGACAUGUGGUCCUAACUCAUCUUCGCACCGUUCCUCACCGUUGGAAUUAGCUUUACUUACAAAGAAUGAAUAUCAUUCUAACAACAAAAUAAUAAUUCUAUUGGAGCAGGUUAAAGGUUAAUACUCACAAGAUUGAUAAACCGCCUAGAAUUGAAUCUUUUCUCCAUUGGGAUGUUCCUCUUUCGGGUUGGGUUAAGCUUAAUGUUGACGGUUGCAAGAAGGGAAAUAAUAAUUCUAUUGGAGCAUGUGGUGUUUUAAGAGAUUUUGAUUGUAAAUGGAUUUCUAGGUUUUGUGCCAAUUUGGGCACAUGUGAGGUUCUCACUGCUGAACUAUGAGGUCUUUACCUGGGCUUACAAUUGGCAUGGAAAUUUUGGAUUCCUAAAGUACUGGUGGAAUCAGACUCUACAAUUACAGUUCAUUUUGUGUUCCAUGUCACACCCCGAUUCUAACAUACGUCCAGGAUUGACACGUGACAUCACCAAGUAUCCGUAUAUCUAACAUACCUCGCCUCUAGAAUAUGUACUAAGCAUGCUCAAGCCUCAAAUUGAGUAGUGAUUUUUCGUAUACUUUAUGGUUGCAUCUAACCUCCUCGUUAGAUUGCCUACGUACCCUCAAUAGGGAUCGUCAUUCGUAGUUCACCAUUUCACUAUACUUGAACAUUUAUCACAUAAAUCGCUAUGUCUCAACAAUAUAUCACAAUGCAUACCAUGCAAUAUGUUCAAGAACCAAUGACGAAGCACAAUAUUCUUCUCAAGCCACAUUGAUCAACUAGAAUAAUCAUAAUAAUAACAUCCAUAUCCAAAGUCAUUCCGCAAUCCAAUCAAUUAAUCAAUUCAUGAAUAAAAAAUGCAUGAUCUUAACAUUUAUUUACGUUAAUCAAUCAAUGCAAUAACUUAUCAUUUCACGAAUUUAACUAAGGAAUCUAUACAAUUCCCUACUUGGAUUAUGAGUAAUAAACAUGGUAAUUCUAAUUUAUAUUCACAAGGUCUAUUAGGGGUAAUUCCCAUCCACUCGAAUCUAGGGUUCUAGACUAACCUUAUGGAUAUGAGCAAGAGUAAGGAUUCCGGACCACUCAACGGAACUAAAACACCAAGCUGCUUCUUGUAAUCUACCCAGACCUGUCAUAUGUACAAUCAUGCCUACAUCAAGGAGAUGGCACACUAGGCAAAUCAGACACUCGAAUAAGCUGCGAAGUUUAGGUGAGUGACAAUAAUACAAGUAUGUGAUAUUCAAUAAAAACAGACCAUCGAUCACAAUCUAUAAACAUCAAGUAUAAAAUCAUGCUUUAUGAAAUCAUAAUCAAGUUGGUGAAAACUCUGAAGAAGCCACCCAGACAUCCAACGACUUUUCUAAUUCAAACCACAAGAUUCUCAAAAACCAUCAUUCAUAUGUACAUUAAAAACUAGGGCUAGAAGAACGCAGUUCGGCCGAAGCCUACAUAAAUAACCAAACAGGAAGUGGCCCCCCAAAGCGGAUUAACCAAGCAGAGCCACCCCUGAGAAAGUAACCAAGUAAGCAGUGACCCCCCAAUGCGUAUUAACCAAGCAGUCACUCCUACAGUUGUUAGGAAGUGAUCACCCAAUGCAUAUUAACCAAACAUGAUCACUCCUAAGCAUACAUGGCCAUAAGGAUCGCCCAACGCGGAUUAACCAAGCACGAUCCAUAUAUAAUAUGGUCCCCCAAUGCGGAAUAACCAAGUAAGGUCAAGAUAAUAAGGUAGGUAGUGACCCCCCCAACACGAAUUAACCAAGCAGAGUCACACCUACAGAACUGUUAGACAAUGAUCACCCAACGCGGAUUAACCAAACAUGAUCACCCCUAAGUAUAAAUGGCCAUAAGGAUCACCCAACGCGGAUUAACCAAGCUCGAUCCAUAUAUAGUAUGGUACCCCAAUGCAGAUUAACCAAGUAGGACAACUAGUGGCCCCCCAAUGCGAAUUAACCAAGCAGGGUCAUAGUCCCUUACUAGCCCUCAAUUUACAAAACAUUUCAAUAUGCAAUUCAAAUCACUUUUCCACAAAUAUUACCAAUCCAUGAAUCAAAUCACAUUUAAUAAAAAUAGAUCGAUGGCCAAUUAUAAAAGAAUCACAUUUUAACAGAAAACACAUUUUAAAACCAUGUCAUAUCCACAAAGGAUAUUAAUAUAAAGAAUCGGGUAAUCAACAUAUCACAUAUAUUAAAGUCACUCACUGAGACAGGUCAGCAAAGCUUCAUUGAGUCUGUAGUAAUACUAAUUUUAGUAAUUCAAAUGGUUUGAGACCUGUUGACCAAAAAUCAAAGGUGGGGUCCACACCCUAACAAUUUAAUUUGAAAGAUUCGCAUAUCAAAAUCUAGAUCCGUAACUUCCUAAGGUCCAUAUUAUGCUCAAAGAACUACAUACUAAAAUCUCAUCACGAUCCGACGGUCGGAUCUUCGCCAAUUGCUAGAAUUAGGUGGUUGUUAACAAUUAAUUUUACAAACUUAGAAAUCUAAUUUGGGAAGAUCUGUACGUCGGAUUCCCGAUCCGUUAGUUCCAGCUAUCCUCAAAUAUUACGUUCUAUAACAUAUUAAAGUUUGGUGACGAUCCAACGGUCGAAUCAUCGAUUCAAAUUUUGAUCAAGUGAUGUAUCAUAAUGAAACUAAGUUCAAACAAUCAAACCACUUCAUAUGGAUAUCAAUUAUGAAUUCAGGGCAUCUAAUUGGACUAAGAAAGACAUCGUCGGCUCACUGGCCACGCGCCGCCGCAGGUGGCAGUCGCCUGCCCCGACUUGUCGGAAAAUCCAACUAUUUUAAAAAAUUACCAAAUUUUACAAGAAAAUAGAUCUCAGUGAGUGGAGCAAGUUUCAUACCUGUGGCCAAGUCCAAUUUGGCUGGGAAAAGCUCAAAUUUCCCUCGAACUCGUCGGAAAACCUAGAAAUGGGUGUUCCUUGAUUCAUCGCCAAAACGAACUUCGACGCCUCAUCCCAUGCUUGGGCCUUGCUCCAAGGGUUGAGGGGAGUCUAUUAGUGGUGAUGAUCGACAAUAAUCGUUGUCGGAAUCACCGUAACAUGAGAAAACUCGGAGGAAAACCGUGGACUUUAUGGCUUCCGUUUGUAAAAUUGGGUUAGAAAUUGAGAAAUAUAAUACCACAAAGGUGUUGGGUUCGCCGAGGGCUUUCCAUAGACACCAAAAUCACCUCAAUCGAACGUCGGAAGAGAUACAACCGGAUCAAGGAACCGGGUCAGCGUUUGAAAUCGAGUCAAGGUUGCUUGGGUGUGUCCUCCCCUUUCUUCUUCCCCUCAUUCUUCCCCUUCUGAUUGGUUCCCUUAACUCACAUAAAUAUGAUUGGCCUCUUUCCCACAAGAUGAGAGUUUAAAAUAAAUUUAAAAUCUAUAGUUUAGUAACACAACUUCAAAUGUUUGUAUCUAUACCGUUAUAAUCCGGACUCGCAAACGACUUUCGCCUAUGCGCUCGUAGUUUCAAGAUCUAUUUGAAUACGUUACUUGUGACCUCAAAAGGUCAAUGAAUUUUAGAUAAUUACUUUCCAAAUUUCAAACUUCGUAACUAAUUUAAUUAAAAUCUAAACCCAAAUAAAUUAAUAUAAUUUGUCGAAAAAUAAUAUAAAAUCUCAAUAAUACAAAUACGUAGAUUAUAAUAGUGAAAUCCAAGAACAGAAUUUCACAUUGCAGCUACUGGGAAUAAUCAUCCUUUUGGUCCCCUUGUUUUGGCUUGUCGAGAAUUGCUUUCAAGACGUUGGUAAUGCAAACUUCGACAUAUCUACAGAGAAAAGAACUUUGGGGCAGAUAGUUUAGCAACUUAUAGUCUUGAUUUAGAUUUAGGUCAUUUUUAUUUUGAUACUUGUGGGUGCAAAUUUAUUCCUCCUUGAUCUUAGACAAAAUUGCACGUACAAAACAAUUAACACCUUAGGUCAAGGCCAGAAGUCUCACGCGCCCACGAUGAAUGGGGGGGCUUUGACCGAAGAACCUCCGAUAUCAAAGUUAGAAUUUAGAGAGAAAAAAUGUUUGAGAAUUCUAGAGAAUUUUAGCAAGAGUUGGAAGCCAUUUUUGGGAGAGAAUGGUGAGCUAUAUAUAGGGAUAUGGCCUGCCUUAUUAGGAGAAUAGGGACCGGCCAUUUAGGUAUUUUUUGGGUGUAAAUUGUGGUUAAUUAGCCAUUAAUAGAUUAAUUAGGUAAUAAAUCUAUUAAUUGACUAAUUAACAUAUUUUGAAAGAAAUUAUUUGGGGAGUUAUGAAAUGAUUAAGAUAAUUAACUAAUUGAUUAGCUAAAAAAAGGAAAAUGAGGUGAAAAAUAUAUGGAAUCAAAUAGGUUUUGGGAGUUACCUUGUAGAAGGGAUUUGAUGAGAUAAGUUUUGAAUUGUUACCUAUUUUGGGCACUUUUGACUUGGUUGAGGGAUAAUUACCCGCUGCUCGCGUGUAGGAAUUCCGUUAUGCCUCAAGGGUAUUUUUGUCAUCUUUUGUCUAAAAAUCCACGUGUCGCCUUGUGAUUAUUUUUUGCUCCACAAUACUCCUCCUUCUAGUUCAGUUAAUUUCAUCCAUGAAGAUCGACUUGGGAUGUCCCGAUUUAGAUUUAAUAUUGAGUAUGUUUGUUUGGACUCUUGCUUUUAGCCUCGUUUUUCAAACAAAUAAAUAAAUAAAUAAUUAACAACGAAAUAAAUAAACAUCUCUUGGAUUAUAUUGGGUGAUAUGGGAGGAGAGGCCCAAACAACAAUCUGGGCCUGGCUAACAACAAGAAAAGGAGUGUCCAACCAAGUGCAAGCCCAACUCCAAGUAAAGCCUCUCAAACAGAUAAUCUAGCUUCUGCAUCUUCUUCUCAGUUAAUCUGUAUGCUUUUGGAAAUGCAAUGCGCCAUGGAAGGCCUUUCCUGGUCAAAGACCACCGCCACCACGGCGCUUCCCAACUGGGAGACAUAUUCCUGGUGGCCGGCGUCACCAAGACCCUCUCAACCUCCGGCACCCGCAACCUCCCGAACCCCCACACCCUCCCGCUCUCCGAGCCCCUCCUCUUCCAAAUCCUCCGCUCCCAGUCCCUCCACCCCUCCAAAAAACUCGACUUCUUCAAAUGGUGCUCUCUCACUCAUCACAUCAAACACUCGGAGCGCACGUACUCCCACAUCCUCCGCACCGCCUCCCGCUCUGGAUUCCUCCACGAGGUCCCUCCAUUGCUUCACUGCAUGAAGGUGGACGGCGUCGUGGUCGAUUCCCAGACCUUCAAAGCCCUGCUCGACGCGUUUAUCCGGUCCGGUAAGUUCGAUUACGCGCUUGAAAUUUUGGAUAUUAUGGAAGAUGUUGGUGCUGGGUUGAACACCGAUAUGUAUAACUAGGUUCUUGUUGCUCUGGUUAGGAAAAACCAGGUGGGUUUGGCCAUGGCCAUUUUGUUUAAGCUUCUGGAGGGAGGGGAUUCGACCCAGGUGCCGAAUUCGAUUGCCUGCAAUGAGUUGCUGGUUGCUCUUGGAAAAUCUGACAUGAGGGUUGAGUUUAAGCAAGUUUUUAAUAAGCUUAGAGAGAGCGAGGGGUUUGAGAUGGAUACUUGGGGGUAUAAUAUUUGCAUUCAUGUAUUUGGGUGUUGGGGUGAUUUGGGUACUAGUCUGAGUCUGUUCAGAGAGAUGAAAGACUCUAACUUGGAUUGCGUCGGGCUGGAUUCGUCUACAUGUAAUAGCCUCAUUCAUGUGCUCUGCUUGGUGGGGAAGGUGAAUGAUGCACUUACUGUAUGGGAGGAAUUGAAGGGCUCCGGCCAUGAGCCGGACGCAAUUACCUAUAGAAUUCUCUUAUUCAGGGGUGUUGUAAGUGUUAUCGAAUAGACGAUGGCACUAAGAUUUUUAGUGAAAUGCAGCUCAAUGGAUAUAUACCGGAUACCAUUGUUUAUAAUUCUCUACUAGAUGGGUUAUUCAAGGCUAGGAAGGUUAAUGAUGGCUGCCAGUUUUUUGAGAAAAUGGUUCGGAAUGGGGUGAGAGCCUCAAGGUGGACGUAUACUAUUCUCAUGGAUGGUUUGUUCAGGAAUGGAAGGGCGGAGGCUCCGUACACACUAUUUUGUGACUUAAAGAAGAAGGGUCAGUUUGUUGAUGGUGUAACAUAUAGCAUUGUGGUUUUGCAACUUUGUAAGGAUGGUCUGCUUGAGGAAGCGCUAGAAUUGGUGGAAGAAAUGGAAAGCAGAGGCUUUACUGUUGAUUUAAUUACUGUAUCCUCACUUGUGAUUGGGCUGUAUAAAGAAGGUCGGUGGGAUUGGACGGACAAGCUCAUGAAGCACAUUAGAGAGGGGAACCUAGUGCCGAGUGUUCUUAAAUGGAAGGUUGAUAUGGAGGCUUCACUGAAAAAUCCGCAGAGAAGUAGAAAGGAUUAUACACCAUUGUUCCCAAGUAAAGGUGACUUGAGCGAGAUUAUGAGUUUAAUAAAGUCUGCUGAAUCAACAAUGGAUGCAGACCUAGAUUCAGAGGCUGCCAGGGCUAAAGAAGACGAUAAGAAUUUGUCCACCGAUGCGGAUCAAUGGUCAUCAUCUCCACAUAUGGAUGAAUUGGCUAAUCAACUUAAGUCCGCCGACCACUCCUCGCAGCUGUUUUCAUUGUCCAGGGGUCUAAGAGUUCAAGCGAAAGGGGAAAGCACUUUUGAUAUUGACAUGGUUAAUACUUUUUUGUCCUUAUUCUUGGCCAAGGGAAAGCUGAGCAUAGCAUGCAAAUUGUUUGAGAUUUUCAGCGACCUUGGUGAAAACCCCGUGAGUUAUACUUAUAAUUCCAUGAUGAGUUCAUUCGUCAAGAAGGGCUACUUCAAUGAGACAUGGGGUGUACUCAAUGAAAUGGGAGAAACGCUUGGGGAAGAUGGGCAGAGCGGAUCUGGCGAGUUCUGUCCUGGAUAAGCUAAUUAAGCAGGGUGGUUAUCUUGAUGUGGUUAUGUACAACACCUUGAUUAAUGCACUAGGGAAGGCUAGCAGGAUUGAUGAAGUAAACAAGUUCUUUUAGCAGAUGAAGAGUAGUGGAAUAAAUCCUGAUGUUGUCACUUUUAAUACACUUAUUGAAGUACAUAGCAAAGCAGGUCGGCAAAAGAUGCAUAUAAGUUUUUGAAAAUGAUGUUCGAUGCAGGCUGCACCCCAAACCAUGUUACUGACACGACUUUAGAUUUUCUGGGCAAGGAGAUUGAGAAAAUGAGGUACCAGAAGGCAUCCAUGGUGCGCAAUAAGGAUGACUGACCUUGAAAAGAAUUUAUACACUUCAAUUCAACUGUAGUUCAACCUGCUGUGACUUUCGGCUCAUAAAUUUUAAAUGAAAAUUUGAAGGCCAAAAGUGUAGUCGUGUGUUGAGGUGCAUUUUCGAUCUAUAAUCAUGUCAUGCUCAGCUUCGGUCAUGUUAAAUGUUAAAAUUGCUAGAGGUGAAACUUCAGGUCGGUACCUACUAAACUGUUAGAAUGUAACGUAACUGGAAUAUUUGUUUUUCUUCCAAAACUCUGAAACAUAAUUGAGCUUUGUUAAGCUAGAAGGUAGAUUAUUUGAUUCUGGUAGUGAUUUAUGCAAGAAUUUGAAUGAUCAUGUUACUACUGUGUAUUAGUUUUCUUCUUUUAUGUUAAUGCAUCCUGCUUUCACUAUUUCCAUUAAGAAGAGCGUGCCUUAGAUUCUCUCUUCGUUUCCUUCUCAGUUUUCUAACCCAACCCAAUUAAAACUACAAUGCUUCUUAUCUAUAGCCUUGUCGUAAACUAUCUAAAUAACUAGAAGUCUCUCAAUAAAAUGAAUUAUAGCUAAGAAUCCUUAAAUGAUGUGUUUCUUGGCUCAUUCUCUCCUUCGAUCCUACUUUUGUUCCUUUUCCUUGUAGGUUAGAACUCAGACAAGGAGCGAGCCGAGAGUUCUUUACCAUGGCCUCCAUUUUUGUCAAAAAUCAAACUCAGGCCUCGAGUUCACAAAAUUUGGAGAGCUCUCUCUCUCGCUUUGCUCUCUAGGUAAACCCGACAGAAAUUCUAUGGAAACAUUACGCCUGCAAACGAAGUUGCAGGCCCAUGCACAAGCAAACUCCAUCUGAAGGCCGAAGAAUCCAAAGGUAAAUGUUGUGUUUGGCUCAUAUAAUUAUGAGUUGGCAACCAUUUCCUCUCAACUUUGUGGACUUUGGAAGCAUGUUUUGUGGAAGCAUGUUUUGUGGACUUUGGAAACAUGACCCCGUAAACUUUGUUUUUGGUGGUUGACAUAAUUGAUGGUGCAUGUCUAUAAGUGAAGGCAUUUUUCAUACACAAAAUUGAAGUGAGCUUGCCGUGAGAAAAUUGUGGGAACAUCCAGAGGAGAACACAAGUAGAAAAAUAUAGAGUGAGAGUGAGAAACUCUUGGGGAGAGUGAGUCUCUUAGUAAAAUUCUGUGAGGAUACAAGGGAUUGGGGUUUGGGUUAUGUCGAUUUAACUCAAGUGUAUCUUGUACUAGUUAUUCUCAUAGUGAAGAGCAAUAUCUCUCGGAGGACGUAGGCAGGUUUUUGCCGAACCUCGUAAUUCUCUUUGUGUCAUUAUUUCUUGUAUUUUAAAUUGUUCAACUGUUGGUUUAUAAGUUGGUGAGAUAACGGGCCAAGGCACAACAAUUGGUAUCAGAGCUUUGUUGGAAGCUUUGGUUCAUUGACGGUUCAGAUUUUUUAUUCACCAUGAUGACUACAAACAUGUCAUUUUCAGUUGAGAAGUUUAAUGGGAAAGGCAGUUUUACUCUUUGGCAGAUGAGAGUAAAAGAUGUCUUGACUCAACAAGGCUUGGCUAGAGCUUUGAAGGGAAAAGAUGGGAAGCCUCAAGAAAUGACAGAUGACCAGUGGGAGGAGCUGGAGGCGUGUUGUGUUAGCACGAUUCGACACUGUAUAGCUGAUAACAUUAUCAAUAAUGUUAUGGAUGAAUAUUCUGCGCCUGCACUUUGGGAGAAGUUGGAAAAACUCUAUAUUGCUAAGAGUUUGACCAACAAGUUGCAUUUGAAGCGGAAACUGUACAAGCUGAAGAUGGAUGAAGGUGGGAAUCUCAUGGACCACAUGAAUGAGUUCAACGGAUACUUGGAUCAAUUGCGGAAAGUUGAUGUUAAGGUUGAGGAAGAAGACAAAGCCCUCUUACUUCUUACCUCACUUCCAGAUUCGUAUGAAAAUCUUGUGACAACCUUACUGCAUGGAAAAGAUACAGUAAGUUUGGAGCAGGUGCAAACUUCUUUGGUGUCUUAUGAUACACAAAAGAAGAAGACCAUUGUUGAUGGUGGGCACGAGACUGCUUUAGCUGUUCAAGGUUAGAAUCGUGGAAGAAAAUUGGGAGAAGGAUCUGAGAGAGACAACAGGUUCAAAUCUGGUUCCGGAGGCAAAGGUCUACAAUGCUACAACUGCAAAGAAUUCGGGCAUAAAAAGAAAAAUUGUCCUUUGAGAAAAAGAAAGGAUGAUCUUGGUCCGGGUUGUAGCAAUUUUGUGGCGGAAGACUUCGAGUAUGCCCUCUAGGUACUCGAAGCAACACUUCUCCUGAUGAUGUUUAGUCUCAAGUGUUGCAGGGGUUUUGCAACAGGUGGAGCUAUGGGAUUCACAGGUGAUGAGAUGAUCAUGAGGUAGGAUGAAGUGUGGGAAUUUUGUCUGGCUCGAUGGGUUGUUACUGAAAACGGGCGCGCUGACGAGUUUCCAGGUUGCAGACAAUGAAGAGGAGGAAAACCUGCUGAAGGAGACAAGGAUGUGUCGAGAUCCUGUCUGAAGCUAAAUGGUGAUUUUUAGCUUGCAGCAGCUGGACAUGCAUUGGCAGUGACUGAAUCAGGAACAGGACCAACGAGGUUGAUUCAGGGUGUGUAUGCUGGUACGUAAGGCCAAUGGACAUUGGUGAUGGGUGCAAGGAUUUUUGCACAGUAUAUUCGCCAAGGUGGAGAUUGUUGUGUUUGGCUCAUAUAAUUAUGAGUUGGCAACCAUUUCCUCUCAACUUUGUGGACUUUGGAAGCAUGUUUUGUGGAAGCAUGUUUUGUGGAAGCAUGUUUUGGGGAAGCAUGUUUUGUGGACUUUGGAAACAUGACCCCGUAAACUUUGUUUUUGGUGGUUGACAUAAUUGAUGGUGCAUGUCUAUAAGUGAAGGCAUUUUUCAUACACAAAAUUGAAGUGAGCUUGCCGUGAGAAAAUUGUGGGAACAUCCAGAAGAGAACACAAGUGGUAGAAAAAUAUAGAGUGAGAGUGAGAAACUCUUGGGGAGAGUGAGUCUCUUAGUAAAAUUCUGUGAGGGUACAAGGGAUUGGGGGUUGGGUUAUGUCGAUUUAACUCAAGUGUAUCUUGUACUAGUUAUUCUCAUAGUGAAGAGCAAUAUCUCUCGGAGGACGUAGGCAGGUUUUUGCCGAACCUCGUAAUUCUCUUGGUGUCAUUAUUUCUUGUAUUUUAAAUUGUUCAACUGUUGGUUUAUAAGUUGGUGAGAUAACGGGCCAAGGCACAACAGUAAAUCCCUUCGAACUCUUCGAUUUUGAACAUCCAUCUUUUUCCUCCUCAUCUUCUUCUUCUGCUGCUGCUUUGACCAAUAGCGAUACUUCAGGCAGUGCUGCUGCUGCUGCUGCCGCUAUGACGUUUGAGCGUUUUGUUGAAAUUCAUAAAAUUGGUUUCGAUCACUGGGCUAUCUCUUUCGUUAUCACUUUUCUGUUUCUCAAAUUUUUUCCUCUCUUGCUUUCUGCUUCGUGCUCUGUCACCCAAAUGUUUUUGACAACAUCUUCUUUCUUUUACCUUUCGUGCUCUGUCUUGCAGAUGAAUCUCCCAGAUUUGAGAUCUUUUCUUUUGCUUUAUUUUUUUUUAUUAUAUUUAUAUAAGAUUUUUUUAUAUUUUUUUAGUGAGUUUUUCUAUUUCAGUUUCGGUUUAUUGUGUUCUAGCUGUUGAAGAAUGUAAAUUUGGAUUUGCAAAUGGGUGACAGAAAUUUGGACCCUGAUUUCUCUUCGACGAUUGCUAUCAAGAUGAACUAUAAUCCUAGAGUUUCAGAGGUACUGCCAUUGUUUUUUUAUAUGUGUUUUUAGAUUUUUGCUUUGUUUUUUCUUUGUUCUUUUUAAUCUUUGAUUGAGAAAUUCAGAUUUGUGUGUUUCAAAUUUUCUGGUAAAAAUUUAGGGUUAAGGAAAUUUUAGAGAGGUGGAUCACAUUGUAGGAUAUGAAGUUUAUGUAAUUGGUAUUUAGGGGGUGGAAUAAAUUGCAGUUACUCCUUUUGUUUAAAUUUUGGUUUUUAUGUAAUUUUCAUUUAACGCUUAAAUUAAAGAAAGAGAACACGCAAUUUUUUAUAUUUCUUGAUAAUGUGUAUCUGGGUGAUGAUGAAAUAUGCAAUUAAUUUAUUUGCUAAUUGGUUCGUUUAGGUGUGCAUGAAGCAAAGCUCUAAAUUAAAGAUGUUAGAAUUGAACAACAACAACAACAACAACAAAGUCUUUUCCCACUAAGUGGGGUCGGCUAUAUGAAUCCUAGAACGCCAUUGCGCUCGGUUUUGCACAUGUCCAAACCCAUUUUGUGUACGUGUUGAUGCUUCACCGCCCAACAUUAUGUGUCAUACAUCAUCGCCGGCCUUAUUGCCGUCCUUUAAAAUUUUCCCUUGAGCUUCAGUGACCUACGACGGUCACACAACACGCCGGAUGCACUGUUCCACUUCAUCCAUCCAGCUUGUAUUCUAUGGUUGAGAUCUCCAUCUAAUUCUCCGUUCUUUUGUAAGAUAGAUCCUAGGUAGCGAAAACGGUCGCUCUUUGGUAUUACCUGAUCUCCGAUCCUCGCCCCUAACUCAUUUUGGCCUCCAUUUGCACUGAGCUUGCACUCCAUAUAUUCUGUCUUUGAUCGGCUUAGGCGAAGACCUUUAGAUUCCAACACUUCUCUCCAAAGGUUAAGCUUCGCAUUUACCCCUCCUGAGUUUCAUCUAUCAACACUAUAUCAUUUGCGAGAAUCAUACACCAAGGAAUAUCAUCUUGAAUAUGUCCUGUUAACUCAUCCAUUACCAACGCAAAAGGGUAAGGACUUAAGGAUUGUUGAUGCACAAAAUCAGUGAGGACUUUGGUACAACAGAAAGUAUUAAGUUAUUUCUCUGGUCAUUAGUGUGGAUAAGUAUGUAAAAUGAUAGAGACAGGAAAGCAAACAUAAGAUGUACGUGGUUCACCCAGAUUGGCUACGUCCACGGAGUAGAUGAGUUCUCAUUAAUUGUGAAGGGUUUACACAAGUACAUAGGUUCAAGCUCUCCUUUAGUGAGUACAAAUGAAUGAUUUAGUACAAAUGACAUUAGGAAAUAUUGUGGGAGAAUGAUCUCGUAAUCACGAAACUUCUAAGUACCGAAGUGUGGUAUCGUCUUCACUUGCCUUAUCUGUCUCAUAGGUAGAUGUGGCAUCUUCUCUGGAAGUACUCUUCCUCCAUCCAGGGGUGGUAUUUUUAACUAGUGGAGAUGCACAAGGUAAUGUAUCAAUUUCACUUGAAGCUUACUUGUAGCUUCAGGUUUGGUCAAGCGCGAUACAAACCAUGUAGUAGGAGUCCCCCAAGUCGCCGAGCUAGGGGAUCUGUUGAAAGAGGUGACAAACAAAGUAAGCAAUCAGAGCUCCAAGCAAUCAGUCCCAGAUCAAAAGUUUGAUUUUGAGUUCUGGCUGAUUGUUCUCAUUCUCCCUAUCUUGCAGGCAUCAUGAAGGAUAAAGAGAAGAAAAUGAGACUAGAUGAUACGAGAUACUUUUGCUUUUGAAGAAGUAACUUUCCACAGGCUUAUUCUUGAACUGGGCGGGAGGGUUUUCUGGUUUCCUCCAGAGUAUAAGGCCGACUGAAGAAUUUGAGGGUCAAAACAAGUCCAUCAAAUCUAGAGUACGUUCGACCAUGCUGAUAUGAGAUACUUUUGCUGUUGACAAAGUAGUGGAUGUAUCGGCACGCGUUCUGUUACGCUUGUCUCCACAUGCUUCCUUGUAUCCUUCUCACUUUCCCUAUCGGUUCCUCAAGCAGAUGUGGUAUCUUCUCUGGAAGCAUAAGAUGUUGAAGAUGAGUACUCGAGAGUAAUGUCAGGUAAGUAAUCAGGUAAGGGGUUCCAGGCAGUCAGUUCCUGACUGGAAGCUUGAUUCCAAGUGCUGACUGAUUGCUCUCUUUCUCCUUGUCUUGCAGGUAAGAACAAGGCCAAAGGAAAAGACAGGGAAAAAGCAUGAUAUGGGAUACUCUUGCUUUUAACCCUGAUGAUAUGAGAUAUUCUUGCUCUGGUGUAGCUUGUUUGUAGAGGUAUUAUCGGGGGGGGGGAAAGAAAGCUGAGUAUUUCGAGAGGCUUCGUUGGGAGUGCCCUCUCAGAUAUGAGGAAGGGUUGAGCAUUUUUGCAGGUCUGCCUUUCCGUUGAGGAUGGAGGUUGACAUAUAUAGGAGUCUCCCUAACAACAAGUAGUAAUGCUAUUCCUUUACCCUGCUUGGUCAUAACACGGUAGUGGGAGCUGCCAGCUUCACGUGUGUCAGAGCACUUUGAAAAAGUGGUCUGUGGUAUCUGGAAAGCUGAUGUUGCGUGUGAAGAUUACAAACAAGCUUUAUCCAAGAAGAUCCGGCCCUCGAAGUUGAGAAAGCGGUGCCUCUUCGAUUUUCGAACAAGCAAUCCUGUCGGAGAUCUGGCUCUCGAGAUUCGGAGAACGGUGCCUCUUUGAUUUUUGAGAGAGCAAUCCUUCUGGGAGUCUGGCUUUCGAGAUUCGGAGAGCGGUGUCUCUUCGAUUUUUGAGAAAUUAAUCAUGUUGGGAGUCUGACUCUCGAGAUUCGGAGAACGGUGCCUCUUCGAUUUUGGAGCAAGCAAUUUUGUUAGGAGUGUUUUCUCGAAAGUGAGUAAAGGUAGGGCAUGUUUGCUAGUCUACCUUGCCACAGAGCACAGAGGUUGACACACAGGGACUUUCCAAUUAUCCAGCAGUGGUGCUGUUCCUUUACCCUUGUGGGUAAUAAUAUGAUAGCUAGACCUUCAAAAUUUAUGUGUCUAAACUUUGUUAGUGCUGUUUCUUUGCUAUUCUUUUACCCUUCUUGGCCAUAGCGAUGUAGUGGGAGCUGCAAGCUUCACGUGUCUAAACUUUGUCAGAGAUCUUUGGCAAAGUUAUCUGUGGUACCCCUGAGCUGAUGGUGCGUGUGAAAAGUGGAUGAUUGAACAGUAAGAUUCACGUGCUUUCUACUUCACCAGAAAUCUUCAACAGAAUGCCUGUAAUUUCAGCAAAGCUGAGUGUGCAUGUGACAGGUGCUGACAAGGCUGAAAAGUGCCUCUUCGAUUUCUGAGAUCGGCCCUCGUGGUCUCUGAGCAGCCCAGCUUUUGAGAAAGCAAGCCUCUUCGAUUUCUGAGAUCGAUCUUCGUGGUCUUUGAGCAGCUCAGCUUUUGAGAAAGCAAACGCCUCUUCGAUUUCUGAGAUCGGCCCUCGUGGUCUCUGAGCAGCCCAGCUUUUGAGAAAGCAAACGCCUCUUCGAUUUCUGAACAGACGCCUCUUUGAUUUCUGAAGCUCCGUCGAGUGCAGAUUUUUAUAGAGGCUGGCAUUAAGUUUCAAAGCACACUUGAAUCUUCACCAGUAGAAGCUCCCUUCUUGCACUUCUAAGAUCUUUAUUUGUCCGACCUCUUCUCUCUUCAACACCUUUGAAAAUGUCUGGCCCCUCCGACCGUCAUUUUGACUUGAACCUUGUUGAAGAGGCAGCCAUGCCUUCUCCAGACAACAUAUGGCGUCCAUCCUUCUUAUCCCCUACUGGUCCUCUUACCGUUGGGGAUUCCGUGAUGAAGAAUGAUAUGACCGCUGCGGUGGUGGCCAGGAACCUUCUCACUCCCAAAGAUAACAGACUACUUUCUAAACGGUCUGAUGAAUUGCCUGUUAAGGAUUCUCUGGCUCUGAGUAUUCAGUGUGCAAGUUCUGUGUCUAAUAUGGCCUAACGCCUAUUUGCUCGAACCCGCCAAGUUGAAUCAUUGGAGGCUGAAGUGAUGAGUCUCAAACAGGAGAUUAUAGGGCUCAAGCAUGAGAAUAAACAGUUGCACCGGCUCGCACAUAACUAUGCUACAAACAUGAAGAGGAAGCUUGACCAGAUGAAAGAAUCUGAUGGUCAGGUUUUACUUGAUCAUCAGCGGUUUGUGGGUUUGUUCCAAAGGCAUUUAUUGCCUUCGUCUUCUAGGGCUGUACAGCAUAAUGAAGCUCCAAAUGAUCAACCUCCGAUGCCUUUUCCUUCUAGGGUUCUAUCCAGUACUGAGGCUCCGAAUGAUCCCCCUCCGAUGCCUUCUCUUUCUGUGGCUCUACUGACUGCUAAGACUUCUCCUAAGCAACCUUUGUGAAGGCUCCCUCUUGUUUGUUUAUUUUGACUCAUGUAUAUGUACAUAUUUGUAACUUAUCGGAGAUAUCAAUAAAUAAGCUUUGCUUCAUUUCCAACGUAUUGUGUUAAAUACACCAAAGCUUUCUUCACUGAGUGGGGUCGGCUAUAUAAAUCUUAGAACGCCAUUGUGCUCGGUCCUGUGUCAUGUCAUUCGUUAGAUCCAAAUACUCUAAGUCUUUUCUUAGAGUCCUUUCCAAAGGUUUCCUAGGUCUUCCUCUACCCCUUCAGCCCUGAACCUCUGUCCCAUAGUCGCAUCUUCUAACCGGAGCGUCAGUAGGCCUUCUUUGCACAUGUCCAAACCACCGUAACCGAUUUUCUCUCAACUUUCCUACAAUUUCGGCUACUCCUACUUUACCUCGGAUAUCCUCAUUCCUAAUCUUAUCCUUUCUCGUGUGCCCACACAUCCAACGAAGCAUCCUCAUCUCCGCUACACCCAUUUUGAGUACGUGUUGAUGCUUCACCACCCAACAUUAUGUGCCAUACAGCAUCGCUGGCCUUAUUGUCGUCCUAUAAAAUUUUCCCUUGAGCUUCAGUGGCAUACGACGGUCACACAACACGCCGGAUGCACUCUUCCACUUCAUCCAUCCAGCUUGUAUUCUAUGGUUGAGAUCUCCAUCUAAUUCUCCGUUUUUUUGCAAGAUAAAUCCUAAGUAGCGAAAAUGAUCGCUCUUUGGUAUUUCCUGAUCUCCGAUCCUCACCCCGAACUCAUUUUCCAUUUGCACUGAACUUGCACUCCAUAUAUUCUGUCUUUGAUCGGCUUAGGCGAAGACCUUUAGAUUCCAACACUUCUUUCCAAAGGUUAAGCUUCGCAUUUACCCCUUCCUGAGUUUCAUCUAUCAACACUAUAUCGUCUGCGAAAAGCAUACACCAAGGAAUAUCAUCUUGAAUAUGUCCUGUUAACUCAUCCAUUACCAACGCAAAAAGGUAAGGACUUAAGGAUGAGCCUUGAUGUAAUCCUACAGUUAUGGGGAAGCUGUCGGUUUGUCCUUCAUAAGUUCUUACAACAGUCUUUGCUCAUUCAUACAUAUCCUUUAUAGCUUGGAUAUAUGCUACUCGUACUCCUUUCUUCUCUAAAAUCCUCCAAAGAAUGUCUUUUGGGACCUUAUCAUACGCUUUUUCCAAAUCUAUAAAGACCAUGUGUAAAUCCUUUUUCCCAGCUCUAUAUCUUUCCAUCAAUCUUCGUAAGAGAUAGAUUGCCUCCAUGGUUGAGCGCCCUGGCAUGCACCCGAAUUGGUUGUCCGAAACCCGUGUCUCUUGCCUUAAUCUAUGCUCAAUGACUCUCUCCCAGAGCUUCAUUGUAUGACUCAUUAGCUUAAUACCCCUAUAGUUCAUGCAAUUUUGUACGUCGCCCUUAUUCUUGUAGAUAGGCACCAAAGUGCUCCUUCGCCACUCAUUUGGCAUCUUCUUUAUUUUCAAAAUCCUAUUGAAAAGGUCAGUGAGCCAUGUUAUACCUGUCUCUCCCAAGACUUUCCACACUUCGAUCGGUAUAUCGUCUGGGCCCACUGCUUUUCUAUGCUUCAUCUUCUUCAAAGCUACAACCACUUCUUCCUUCCUGAUUCGACGAUAAAAUGAGUAGUUUCUACACUCUUCUGAGUUACUCAACUCCCCUAAAGAAGUACUCCUUUCAUGUCCUUCAUUGAAAAGAUUAUGAAAAUAACCUCUCCAUCUGUCUUUGACCGCGUUCUCUGUAGCAAGAACCUUUCCAUCCUCAUCCUUGAUUCACCUCACUUGGUUUAGGUCCCUUGUCUUCUUUUCCCUUGCUCUAGCUAGUUUAUAGAUAUCCAACUCUCCUUCUUUGGUAUCUAGUCGCUUAUACAUAUCGUCAUAAGCCGCUAACUUAGCUUCUCUCACAGCUUUUUCGCCUCUUGCUUCGCUCUUCUAUACCUUUCACCAUUUUUAGGGUCCUGUCCUUGUAUAAGGCUUUACAACAUUCCUUCUUAGCCUUCACCUUUGUUUGUACCUCCUCAUUCCACCACCAAGAUUCCUUUUGGUGUGGAGCAAAGCCCUUGGACUCUCCUAAUACCUCUUUUGCUACUUUUCGGAUACAACUAGCCAUGGAAUCCCACAUUUGGCUAGCUUCCCCCUCUCUAUCCCACCCACACUGGGUGAUUACUUUCUCUUUGAAAAUGACUUGUUUUUCUCCUUUUAGAUUCCACCAUCUAGUCCUUGGGCACUUCCAAGUCUUGUUCUUUUUUCUCACUCGUUUGAUAUGUACAUCCAUCACCAACAAGCGAUGUUGAUUAGCCAAGCUCUCUCCCGGUAUAACUUUGCAAUCCUUACAAGUUAUACGAUCCCCUUUCCUCAUUAGAAGAAAAUCUAUUUGUGUUUUUGACGACCCACUCUUGUAGGUGAUCACAUGUUCUUCUCUCUUCUUAAAGAAAGUGUUGGCUAAGAAGCGAUCAUAUGCCAUUGCAAAAUCCAAGAUAGCUUCCCCAUCCUUGUUUCUCUCCCCAAAACCAUGGCCACCAUGAAAACCUCCAUAGUUGCCUGUCUCCCUGCCCACGUGUCCAUUUAAAUCUCCUCCUAUAAAUAACUUCUCCGUCUAGGCAAUUCCUUGCACCAAGUCUCCAAGGUCUUCCCAAAAUUUCUCCUUCGAACUCGUAUCCAACCCUACUUGAGGUGCGUACACACAUUGAUGAGUUCUUGUCCUAUUACAAUCUUGAUUGCCAUGAUUCUAUCUCCUACCCUCUUGACAUCUACAACAACAUCUUGUGUCAAGGUCUUGUCCACGAUGAUGCCAAACACCGUUUCUCGUUCUAUUUGUGCCCGAAUACCAAAGUUUAAACCCUGAGUUUUCUAGAUCCUUUGCCUUAAGACCAACCCACUUAGUUUCUUGUAGGCACAUAAUAUUUAUCAUUCUCCUCACCAUAACUUCCACUAGUUCCAUAGAUUUUCCCGUUAAGGUUCCUAUAUUCCACGUUCCUAAACGCAUUCUGCUUUCUUGAACUCUACCCUUCUGUCCUAGCUUCUUCACCCUCCCUCGUCCAAUAGAAUCAAAGUACUUCUUUUGUGUGUCCUGUGUAAAGUUGAUAGGAGCAUAUGCUCCCAAACAACUUUGAGUGGAGUCGUUCGAAAAGAAGUUUCUAUGGCCCCCUUGCUCAUUUAACACUACAUCCGGGUGCCGAUGGAGAUACAGCGACCCUUGCUCACUUAUCAUUGUGCUCGGGCCACACAGCGCGCCACUUACGGGUGACGCCCUAGCUUUAGCGCGAUUUCGUUCUGGAUUCAUUUUCAUAAGGAUUCGACAUAACUGUGGAGUGCCGACUAUCGACUACCUGACGUCCUCCCCCUCCUCCUUUACCCGGGCUUGGGACCGGCAAUGUAAGAUAAACUUACACAGACGGAGUUAUGUUAGAAUUGAACCCCAAAAAAAAAAGAAAAAAAGAAAAGAAAAAGGUUAGAAGUAGUUCCAAGCUCUUUAAAGAUUUCAAAUGCUAUAUGAUGUCUGCUUCUUUGGCUGAAUUGUUGUUGUUCUUAUGUAUUUGGCACAUAGAUUGUAUGCUUAUUGCCUACUGAUUUGUUAAUUUUGAUAAUGCUGAGUUGUCGCAUUCUGUGGUCAUUUCAGGAAGUGUGGUAGAAUGCAACAAUUGAGCAUUAUCAAAUUUAUGAUCUGACAAAUGGUUUUAGCAGUAGUAGUUGUACUUAUCAUGCUUGGCAACCAGGUUUAGACUGCCCCUUUUCUUUUAUUUUGCUCUUCCUUUCUUUCUUUCCUUUUGCUUCGGAGAGGAGAAAACUAACCUUUUGUUUUUGGUUUUGUGGGGAAAUAGAUAUAAGGGUUGGAAAAUGAAUCUAUUAGCAUUUCCCCAACUGCUUUUAUUUUUGUAAUUUUUGGGGGGUUUUGUCUGUGUGCUCGGAUGCUGUCUGAUUUCAGUCUUUUUUGCUUUCAGGAAAAGGAAACAUUGGUGUUCGAAUUUUGCAGCUACAUGUCAAGAUGCAAGCAAAGGCUAUGCAGGUGUGUUCCUGUUAAUUGCAAUUUCAUUACAUUCAAUGUCCAGAUAUUCUUAAUUCCAACAAUUGAUUUCAUGUAAUUGAAAUUUUGUUACAUUCAAUGUGCAUGUAUUCUCAUUUGCUAAUUUACUUAUCAAUCGCCAUUUUCCAUUGAUUAAUGCUCAUCAUCUGCAAACCCCAUUGCCCCUGUAUCUUAAAGUUUUUCUCUUUCUUCUUUCCCCCUCAUUUGGGUGCAUAUAAAUUUGGCUAAUUGUCAUUUUUAUUUACUUACGCUACUUUAGUUUACAUUCUAGCCCAUUCAGUCAAUUGCUUUCCCAAAAUAAUUGUAUUUUAAGUAAAAAUUAUUGGGUUGGUUAGAAUUUCAAUUUGGGUUUUGAUUUUUAUGCAUUCAAACUUUCAGUCCACAGUUGAGAGACAAGGAAAAGUUUAGGGUUUUUGUUUGGCCAUAAUUGACGAAGUAAAGGUAAGUCCUUUCCCAUUUGUGAUAUGUUGUAUUACUCUUUUCUUCUCAAUUUUAAUUGUUUACAGUAAUCGGUUUCUUUGUUUUUUUUUAUUAGGCAUUUUAUGUCCUUAUUCCUUGGUCACUUUUCACCAACUAAUUGGUUUUGCUGUGACAGUCCUUCGUCUAUUUAUAUAUCCUAAUCAUUUUUGUGUUCUAUCUUUUCUGACUCGGAUGAUAUUGAUCAAAUGAAUUAGUUAGAAACUGAAAAUUACAUUAGUUCCAUCAAUAUGUUGAUCAAAUGAAUGAGUUAGAAGCUGAAAAUUACAUUAGUUUCUUAAUGCUUUUAUUACUAAACAGAUUUUGUGUAUGUGUAGAAUAACUAUUAGGUUUGUGGGUUUUGAACAGCUUUGCUCUUCCCAAGAGCUAUGAACUCUUUAGUUUUCCAAUUUUAUGAAUUGGGUUUUUGUUUUUCUUUUCAGGCACGCAAUCAAAGAUAUGGUGGUGCGCGAAUCACCUAGAAACUAAUGUAUGUGUAGGAAAAUAUAUGCAUUUUAGAAUGUUCUCGAUGUGAGUAGGGUUUUUGAAAUUGUGUUUUGGCGUGUGUGAAGCUGAAUGAUGCAGUUUUGAUUUUUUUUCAAUUUUUUUUUAUUUCCUGUACAGAACAGCUUUGAUCUUCCACAGGACUACUCUCUGUUGCUUCUGAAAGAUCUCCAUCUCGAUGUGAAUAGGGUUUAUUCAAUCUGUGUGGAUUACCCAGGUGUUGAAUUUGAUAGAUAAUGUGACUUUUGAGAUGGCAGAGUUUUUGAAAUUGUGUUUUUGGCAUGUCUGAACCUGAAUGAUGCAGCCUUUGAUCUUUCAAAUGGAAGGGUUGUCGAUGAGGUUAGUUAUUUUUGAGGCUCUGCUUCUGCAAACGUUAACUCUUUACAUGGAUAUCGAAUUUUAUGUGAAUUUUAGUCAUAUAUCAAACUGCUCUACACCAAACUCUGUGUACUACAACAAUUAUAAUUAGCUUAGUAUACAAUUUUGUUUUACAGUGGAUUUAUAAUGACCAAAAUAUAUACAAAGCAUAUGGAUCAAUUUUUCUAAGCCUUAUUAGUUCCCUAAAUUGUGGUAUUUCAUGUUUAAUAGUGUUAAAUACUUUAUAUGUUAUAUUUUAUUGUGCUCCUUCGUUCUUUUAGUAAUUUUUAAUGCUUCUUCACAAUAUAGCUAAAGAAAGAACACUCUUAUGUUAUCCACCUUUGUUAUUUCUCUUAUGGUUGGACAUUUUUGUUUUCAUUCUUUUAGUUCUUGCCUAAUUGUUAUUUCAUUUUGGUUUUUUGUUUCUCUAUAUAGAUGUUAUUUUGAAAUAGAAAGAAUUUUCAAGAGCAUACUUUAUUACAAUUUUCCUUUAGUCGGGUUCACAAAAUGAAAUUCAAAACAUCAUUUCUAUAAGAUUCACCCUAAAAACCCUUGCGAUGAAAGUAAUGGGAUUUCAGUUUCCUUGCAGAUAUUCAGGUGUCGUUAUCAUUCUUAGCCUUCUUUAUUUCAAAACUACCUUAACCUCAAGCUCACCUGCAAGUUCCUGCUCACCAGGUAUUACAAAGUAAUAAGAAAUUGGCUCGCCUUCUAACAACAUUACUGUCAUAUUUGACACUAAAAGCAUACUAUACAUGCAGUUCCCCGUUUUCUAUCUUCCUUUAUUCUUUUUAUUUUUAUAUAUGUGUAAUUAUUUAUGUAUAAAUGCAAUUCUCAAACAUUGUAAAUCUAAGUUAGCCUAAUAAUUUUAACAUGCAAGGAAAUAGCUUUGUCCAGCAAGGAAAUACCUCUUCGCAACCAACUCAAUCCAACAAAACUUUUACUGCUCUUAAAAACAUUAUCUGCUCAAGUAAGUUCUCAGUUUUCAUAUACUUUUUAUUUCUUGAUGAUAUCUAGGUGAUUUACAUAGUUUUCAACCAUUAGAUCACAUAACUUACAUUUAUAAUUCUAUUGUUUCUGAUUGUAUAAAUAAAUGCCUUUUUCUUGCCAGCUAGAUGAUGUCAUGAUGUGGUUUAGUGGUAUUCAAUACAAUUGAAGAAACUGUCUCUUUAAUCUACUCAUGUUGUGGGAUUUCAAAAAUGAAAGCCACUUGCUUUUUCAAUCUUUUGAAACAAAUUAGCUUUGUAAAGUAACAAAACAAGAAUAUUCCUAGAGGGAAUACAAUUGUCUGCUUUGCUAACGUAGUUCUAUUUAGAUUGAUCAAUGGUAUAAUACUCCUUUUUGUGGAUUGUUUCGAAUUUUUGAAUUUUGUAUUCAAAAUUGGGUUUUGUAAAAAAUUUAGCUACAAUUGUCGAUCAAUCUAGAGAUUUAAUUCAACUUCAAAUUUCGGAGUGUGAUGUUGAUGUUUUAUUUUAUCUUUGGAUGGAGUGAAUAUCCAGCUACUUCAGUCCUUUGCUGAAGUCUACAAUUGAGUAGAACCAAUGUCGAGUAUCAAUGGUGAAGAAGAUCUCGAUGAAUGAAAGGAGAUUAGAGUCUCGAUUCUUAUUCCUUGAAGGCGGUGCUCAACCUACGAUAAGGUUUUUUUUCUUAACACAUCUAAUUUUUAAGUUUUCAGUCAUUUUAAUGGAUAGUUUGGUAUUUGGGCGGCUUUGAUCUUUGAUUUGAAAUAUGUGAUUUUGUCUAAUUCUUUCUGAUCCUCGAUUUCUAUUGAUGUUUAGGGUUUAAUGAAGAUUCUCGAAUGAGGUUGGUUGAGACCAAAAAAAUGGUAUGUGUCAAAUUUUUGUUUUUCUAUUCCUUUAAUUUUAUGCAAAGUUUUAUGCAGAGUUUUGAUGUGCUACUUAUCUAAUUGGGUACGUUGUAUAUAUGCAUGACCUGAUGGUAUUCCGUUAAAUUACUUAUAUGCAAAAAUUGUUUUUUGUCAUGGUUCUAAAUGAUUUGUUAGAUGCUAUUUUGACUUCAGUUUUUUUUUUCUUUUUUCUUCUACUAAUCUUUUCCUAUAUGUUUGAUUUAUAGGCCUCUUGAAUUUUGAAUUGUGAUUGGAAAUUGGAGUAUAGGUAAAACCACUACUUAUUUUUCUUAUUACUUUUCCUUUAAAUGUCUUUUGAGUCUGAGAUUGAGUCUAUAGAUUGUAAAUUUCCGACACUUAUGCAUACUUCGGUGCAUACAAGAAAGCCAAUGUUUUUCUUUUAGGUAUAAAGAACCAAAUACGUUAUAUAAUAUAUAUAUAUAUAUAUAUAUAUAUAUAUAUAUAUAUAUAUAUAUAUAUCUUCAACGAAUGCUUUGUUGUUUUUACUUUUAAUUGUUUUGUUUAAUGGUUGUUUGGAUCCUUAAAAAUAUUCUUCGUUCAAAUGUCUUUUUGGAUGGAUAAUUAAAUUGAUAUAGAUUUUGUUUUUUUUGGAUGGAUAAUUAAUUCGACAUAGAUUAUGUUACCUUUUGCUUUAUCAGUUUACUUAUUUGAAUGAAAUGCAAAUUCCAAUAUUCCAUGUUUGAACAUAGGUUUUGCAUUGUCAAGCCCUGAAAUUAGAACGUAGGUUUGUCACAUGAAAUUGAAUUUUUCCAUGUUUGAGAACUUUCUUUUUGUUCAAAUUGUGUUACCAGUUUUGUGUUUUUUUUUUUUUUUUUUUUUUUUUAGCAUCUAGCAGGUGGACUUAAAAGACAUCAAGUAUGCAGGGGAAUGGUAGGAUUAUCAUUUUAGAGGUAGACACUCAUGUUAAACUUCUAUUCUGGUCUUUUUAUCAUUAAAUUUUGGUGAAAACAUUGUUUAGUAUAACCCUUAUCCCAAUACAAAAUAACAGGUACCAGACUAGCUUACCAUGGAGCUUAUAAUAGUCUAAUUGAUGCUGAAAUCUUAUUUGGCCAAUUUGCUGGAACUACAGUGUUUUUACCGAGAAUCUCUUUAAAGACCACAGAAAGCACUGGACUCCCAUGUGAACUGGUGCGAAAACAGUUUCCUGUGAAAUUGAGUUUUGCACUAACCAUGUUGUGUACGAAGAUAUUUUGCUUCCAUCAAAUAUACGAUAAGGCUACAUUCAUUAUGAUGUUUAAUUCACUUUUCAAAUCUAUGUAGAUAUACAUCUAAAUUGUAUAAGUCGCGCAUAGAACGCUGUAAGUAUAAAAGAGCCUUCCGCAUGCGCAUGAGCGAGUGCAUGGAGGCUAGUUUGUAUAGUAUGAACAAACAAGUACUAUUUCGUUGGAAUACUAUCAAUUUGGACAACAUAUCAAAUAAAAAGUGCACACCAUCAAGGGUCUAGUUUGACAACGUACUUGACAAUAUAACGUGUCAGACCAUCUAAAUAAAGAUGAUUUCCCUACAAAUCUAUGCCCCACUGAUAUACAAGAUUCUGCCGUGAGAGAGAGGGGGAAGAAAACUGUUAGGAUUAUGAAAGAUGUUCGGAUCCAUCUUAGCUCUAUAUAAAGGGUGAAUCACCUCCCUAUAUUUUACCUCACAAGAAUUCCUAUAAAUUGGGUUCUGCUCAAGCUGCUAGACAAACGCAGCUUACCCAAACUAAAGUUCCACAGAAAACUGAUACCAUGGGGAUUUACAAGUUCAUUUCACCCCUUCUCUUCUUCUCAUAUUUCUGCAUGCAUGCAUUUGUUCUGAACUCAUUUCUUAGUUUGGCCCUCGCCGGAUCAAACAAGACGGAUAAACUGGCCUUGCUCGAAUUCAAGGCUUGGAUAACCACAGACCCCUUUGGAGUCAUGACUUCAUGGAACGAAACCCUCCACUUUUGCCAAUGGCACGGCAUUACCUGCAGUCACCGCCACAAGAGGGUCACAACGUUGACGCUGAGGUCCUUGAAGCUUGGAGGCUCCAUAUCGCCACAUGUUGGAAAUUUGAGUUUCCUCAGAGUGUUUAGUCUCUCAAACAACAGCUUUAGCCAUGAAAUCCCUUCAGAAAUUGGCCGUCUGCGCAGGUUGCAACGUUUGGGAUUGCAAAAUAAUUCACUGAGUGGGGAAAUUCCUGCUAAUUUAUCAGGUUGCUCUGAACUCAACUACAUAAUUAUUGGCGGCAAUUUGUUAGAAGGUAGUAUCCCUAAGGAGCUUGGCACCUUGUUAAAGCUAAUUAUAUUCGAUAUUGCAUACAACCACCAUACAGGAAGUAUCCCUUACUCUUUUAGCAACACAUCAUCUCUUGAAGUGUUUGGUGCAGCUUUUAAUAGUUUAAGUGGCAGUAUUCCAGAUAUCUUUGGUCGAUUGACCAAUUUUUAUUUUCUUGGAUUGGAUGGAAAUAACUUGUCUGGUACGAUCCCUCCCUCAAUUUUCAAUGUCUCUUCUCUUGAAACCUUUGCUGUGGGACUUAAUUACAACCUCCAAGGCACUUUUCCUUCAAACUUGGGCAAUUCCUGUCCAAGUCUCCAAACUUUUGCCAUCAGUAAUAACCAGUUUAGUGGGAUUAUACCUGUUUCAAUAUCUAAUGCCUCAAAUCUGUUUGAACUAGCAAUACACAAAAACCAACUGCACGGAGAAGUCCCCUCUUUGAAAAACUUACACAAUCUUGGGCGGUUUACUCUUGCUAUUAACCAUCUUGGAAGUGAAGGAACUGGUGAUGAUUUGAGCUUUCUUUGCGAUCUGACUAAUGCCACCGGUUUACAAUACUUGGAAAUGGGUGGAAACAACUUUUGGGGUACGCUGCCUCAGUGCUUAGCCAACCUGUCUUCUUCACUUGUAUCUUUCUACGUAGACUAUAAUAGUAUAUUUGGCAGUAUCCCGAAAGGGAUGGAAAAUCUGCAUAACCUGGAAAGCAUAGCGCUGUCUGGCAACCGGUUAUCAGGUCUCAUCCCUCCUGAAAUAGGAAGGCUUUCCAAAUUAUAUGUAGUAUAUAUGGAAAAAAAACUCGCUCUCUGGGAAUGUUCCAUCAUCUUUUGGAAAUUUAAGUCGAUUAACUCAUCUGCAUCUACAUGAUAACAACCUCCAGGGCACCAUCCCUUCAACUUUAGCUGAGUGUCCCUAUUUGAUGAACUUAACUCUUGGUGGUAACAAUUUCACUGGUAUCAUAUCAUCAGAAUUAAUUCGUUCGUCUUCUUCAUAUGUUCAUUUGGAUUUAUCUCAAAAUCAUUUGACAGGCUUUCUUCCCAUGGAAGUCGGACAAUUGAUAAAUCUAGAGCAUUUUGAUGUUUCUGGAAAUCUGUUGUCUGGUGAAAUUCCUCCAAGUCUUGGAAGUUGUAAAAGCAUACAGUAUCUUCACUUGCAAGAAAACUUCUUCCAAGGGACAAUUCCAACAGAUUUGAGCUCACUAAGAGGUAUUGAAACCUUAUCUCUCGCUCGCAACAAUUUGUCAGGGACAAUUCCAAAAUUCUUGGAGAAUUUUACAUUUCUGCAAUCCUUGAAUCUGUCUUAUAACAAUUUAGAGGGAGCAGUACCUAUCGCAGGAGUUUUUCGGAAUGCAACUGCCACAUCAGUCCAAGGGAAUACAAAGCUCUGUGGGGGCAUACCAGAGUUUCAAUUGCCAAAAUGCGAAUUUCGACAUUCCAGCAAAAGGGUGUUGAGCCUAACCUUGAAACUAGUAAUCUCUCUCCUUUGUGGGCUUUCUGGAGCCUUUUUUUCAUUUGCCGUUUUGUACUUUUGUUGCUUUCGGAGUAAAAAAAAGGAGGAUCCUUCGAGCGAUUCUGAAAAUUUUCCUAAGGUUUCUUACCAAAGUCUUGUUAAAGCUACUGAUGGAUUCUCUUCUGCCAAUUUGAUUGGUAUGGGAGGUUUUGGGUCAGUUUAUAAAGGAUUACUUGAUCAAGGUGAAACAACAAUUGCUAUCAAGGUACUCAACCACGAUCGACAUGGAGCUUCCAAAAGUUUCAUUGCUGAGUGUGAGGCUCUGAAAAAUAUUAGACACCGUAACCUUGUGAAGGUACUUUCUGCAUGCUCCGGAUUCGACUAUCGUGGUUCUGAUUUCAAGGCCUUAAUUUACGAGUUCAUGGUAAAUGGGAGCUUAGAAGAAUGGUUGCAUCCAACUCAGACAAGUAUUGAUACGGAUCAGAGGCCAAGGAGCUUAACUUUUUCGCAGAGGUUGAACAUUGCUAUAGAUGUUGCAGUGGCAUUGGAUUAUCUCCAUCAUCUGUGUCACGUGCCAAUAGUUCAUUGUGACCUCAAACCCAGCAAUGUUCUUCUCGACAAUGAUAUGAUUGGACAUGUAGGUGACUUUGGGUUGGUGAGAUUCCUUCCAAGAACUCUUGAAGAUGGUUUUGGUAAUCAGUCAAGCUCCAUCGGAGUCAAAGGAACAAUUGGUUAUACUCCUCCAGGUAAAACAUACUUUCUUUUCAUUUUUUUUUCAGUAUUCAUCUAUAAUUUAGAUUUUUUUUUUUACGUAUUAAAAUAAAAACAUUUGCACAAAUGUAGAGUAUGGUAUGGGGCAUGAAGUGUGGCCGCAAGGUGAUGUGUAUAGUUACGGCAUCCUCCUACUGGAAAUGUUUACGGGAAAAAGGCCAACCGGCGACAUGUUUCAAGGAUCUUCAAAUCUUCACAACUUUGUCAAGGCAGCACUGCCUGAGCAGGUGUUAGAUAUUGUGGAUCCGGUUCUUAUUCAAGAAAAAGUGGAAGGGGAGAUGAGUGCAAAUCAGCAUCUAACUGAGGCUAGCACAACAAUUCGCAUGACAUUUGAAGAGAGCUUGAUUUCAAUCUUAGGAGUUGGUGUUGCAUGCUCCGCAGACAUACCUGGGGAAAGGUCGGACAUCGUUGAUGCUAUGGCUGAGAUGUGUCAGAUCAGAAACAAACUUCGAGCAGAUAAAAUGUUGGAUUAGAAUAAGCAUAUUGUUAAGUAUUGGCAUGUACGUAAUAAUCUUGUUUCCUUAUGUGGAAGUUGAAGUUCUCCGAUUUGCUUGAUCAAUAAAAACAGUAUAGUUGAUAACUUGUCUGACAGACUUCAGUCCAUUUACUAUUUUGUACUGUUGCGUUAUACUUAGAUGCAUUUGGCGUAGGGUGAAUUCAAGCUUGUACUUCAUGUGGUAUAUAUUACCAGAAUCUAGAACGAGUAUCAGAUUCGCAUGUCAAGAUUUCGUAAUUUGUAUCUUAUCGAUUUCUUUUUUUAAAGGAAAACUUGUAUGUUCUAGAGCAAACCCAUUCGGUCUUGACUCCCGCAAGGUCUUUUUUAUCUAUGAAAUAUCAGAGCAUCAGGAUCGGUUUGACUCCCAUAAGGUCUUUUUUAUGUUCCUUUGCCUCUUAGUUUAUUACUUCCGCAGUUGAAACUAAUAGUGUGCAUUUCGUAGAUUUUAUCCCGAACAGGAUGGUGAAAGCUGAUAGAAAGUUUCUAUGCCAAAACAAAUUCAUUUGUAUAGACUUAAUUGUUGUGAUUAAUUGUGGGUCAUGUGUUGACAACAACAAUUGAAGACCAUGUGUUUGUUUUCGGUUGUGGCGUGGAAGUCUUCGUUCAAGGAUUGCACGCUAUAGACUACGUACAGCAAAGAGUUUGAAUUUGGCAUGCGAACUAAAGACCAAUUGGUCUUGGUUGUUGGUGUCAGUUUAAUGGGUUGCAGGUGUUAACUAGAUGCAAUAUUUGUGCAUUUGGUAAGCAUCCGAAGGGGAAAACACAGAGGAGAGAAAAUAAGAGAAAAAAGAGUGGCAUCUUGGGGUUGGGUGAGCUCUUGUGAAAUACUGUGAGAUGGUGUAGAAGGGUUUCGGUUUUGAUUUAUGUUUAUUUAACUCAAGUGUAUCUUGCAUUUAUUAUUAUUCUCAGAAUAAAGAGCAAUAUCUCUUUUGGGGACAUAGGCAGAAUUUUGCCGAAACUCGUAAAAUUAACGGUGUCUUUAUUUCUUGUUUAUUUUAUUAUGUUCAACUAUGGUUUGUAUUCUAGCGUUGUAAUUUGAAAUCUCGGCUCAGCAUAGACAGUGGCACAACAUGAUAAAAACUAAUAAUCCUUCAACCAAUAGUAUCAUAGGUCGAGUCAAUGCAGAGAAAAUGAAUACAUUUCUAUACUAUGAAUUUGGACCCACAUAUCAAAGAAAGAGUGCACAUUAUGCACAUUAUAACUGGUCUAGGUUGACAAUGUACUUUGGACCCACAUAUCAAAGAAAGAGCGCACAUUAUCACUGGUCUAGGAUGACAAUGUACGUGACAAUAUAACACGUCAAUCUAUCUAAAUAAAGACUAUUUCCCGACAAAUCCAUGCCCCACUGGUAUGCAAAUUCUGCCAUGACAGAGGGCAAAGAAAACUGAGGAUUAUGAUAGGUGUCAGGAUCCAUCUUAGCUCUACGAUUUACCUCUAUUUCUCUGCCCCACUGUUUGUUUAAUCAUGUAUGUUGUUUUCAUUUGAUUUAUUCAAUCUAAUGGUUAAAAUUAUAGUAAAUCACCUCCCUAUAUUUACGAUUUACCUCACAAUAGUUCUUACUAGAAAAUGUGCUCGCGCUUUGCUACGCAGAUUGAAUGUAUUAGUCGCAACAUGCAAAAAUAAUUUGCACAGAAAGAUGCACUAAAAAGGCGGUAAGAACAAAAUCACACCCUCAAAUACAUCAAUGCAGAUAACACACAUUAAUGCCCUUCACAUAAAUUGCAGGCCAAGAUGCAAAAAAAACAUAUGCAUAUUCCUUGAAGGAAAAUUUCUAGGCCUUUGUUAUAUUAUGUAUUAAAGACAACCAACUCUAUCCCCCAAACACUAAAUUUGUUCACUUGAGUCAUAGUCCUCUUGCAAGUAUUGUAAAACUCAAAAGCUUAUUGUCCAAAACCAGAAACAAUUUGUACCAUUUACAUGCAUGUGCAAGAUAUGCCCUACACUGGAAAAACGUCUAAACUUAGAAUACAAAUUUGUAAUCAAGGACAGAUUUUGUUUUGCAUUUUUAUAAUCAAGUAGCAAGCAAAAUUACAAACAUGCAGCAACCAAACACAGAACAUUUUGCAUGGAAGCUAACCGUAGAGGUCUGUGAAGCAAAUAGCGGCAUGAGCUGAAGCCUCUUGAACAAAUUGGAGGUAGUUUAGCCUCAGUCCUCCGCUGUCAAAAAAAUUACAAAAACAUUGUAGCUUCACUAAAAAAUGCAUGAUGAAAUGGAUACAUAGUUUUCAUGCAGAGAGAGAGUACUUGAAAUCUUUUUAUAGAAUAUGAGACAACUAUAAAGAGAUAUCUCGCAUUACCUCUUAGGUACAUGUAUAAUACACAAAUUUGAUGUGCGCGUAAGUAAAUCUUUUAGGAUUGUCAACUGGCCAAAAUAUAUUGGACAAUAAUCAAAAGAAAGAACUUUUAUUUGGUUAAUUAUUAUAAACUACGGAAAUUUGAGGAGCAGCUUCCGCCACCGUAAAAAAGUAUUGCUUCUUCUCGCUCCAUCCUUUACCAAAUUGUUGGAACUAACGCUCAAAUCUUCCGGUUUAGGAGCUGGUUGUUUUGCAUUUUUCGCAACCCAGUCUUCCCUCAUACCUGAAAGUUCCCAAGAAAGUUAGGAGCAGAAAGAAAUAAUAACCCACACAUUCUCCACAUUGCACAUAAAGCUCAUAAUUAAUUUUAGAAAACAACUUGGCACGAAUAACUGUUUCCCUUUUCAUUACCCAUGGCUACACAAAAGUGUAUAGAGAGUUAACUAACAGGAUAAUGAAUCAGAACAUAGUAGUUGGUUAGAAAAGAUUAAAAACACACGAAGCAAGAAUGUGAACAUUGAACCCUAAACCCCAUAUGAAUACUAUCAGACCAUUCGUAACAUGCAUAAUAGUUUUGACAAUACGAGGACAUUGAGGACAAACUUCAACACUCAUGAAAUCUUAUAAAAUUGCAUUGUUCGAUAAGAAUCAAUUAUGUUUGGUUCUUUCUCGUUGAGGGAGAUGUUACAACCUACUCAGCUUCUUCUUCUUCUUUUUUUUUUUUUUUUUUUUUUUUGGUAGGCUGAGCUGAUAUGAUAUUUAGCAUGACAAAUUAAAUGAAAUUUAAAUAACUUUCAAAGAGAGAAGGCAGCAGCUGAUAAGGUACCCAUGUUUAGAAAGCAAGCUACAAGAUAGUUUGGCAGAUAACCAAAUGGAAUUCCCCAUAAUUUUUUAAGUUCUGCACAUCAUAAUUCAUAUACUUUCAGUUUCCCAUCUAAUGAAGGUAUGGACUGCUUUCCAUUUGGAAUUUUAGCAAGACAAUGUUAUGAUAUUCCUAAUUUAGAAUGUGUGUCCAUUCUAAUGAAUGCAAGCCCUAAAUCAUAAAUAUUGUACAAUUAGCUCUCAAUUACUCUGAUGUGUUUGAGCAUGUGGCAGGGCAUGAGAAUCAAAACCACUCCAUGUUGUUCUCCGCUUCGUGAUUUGAUCAUUAAACAAUACUUCAUUCCCUCCAUCCUUUAUCAUAUCUUCUUGGUGAUCACUUGUUCGUCUCCGAACUGUAUCCACAAAAAAACCACAAAUUAUUCCCAAAAACAAUCAUACAAAAAAAUUGCGGAUUAGAUUCGUACCAUUUUCCCAGGAUGUAGAGCUCGGUGAUGAUUCCCUCCUCGUUUUGCACCUUAGACAUCGAGAUUUUAAACGAGAAACCAAAAUCAAACAAUCAUAAAGAAAUACGACGGACAGAAUCACACUGUAAGCCACCACUCCCUCGCUUCCACGGUUCCACCCACAACACCAAAAACAACAAUAACAAUAAUAACAAUGUACACUCAGACAAAACAAAAAUGCACGAAAGCCCUCCAGUGCUAUAACAGCACUUCUAGGACAACUUCGAUAUCUGUGGACUGUUCCUUUCUCCAUGUUACAGCGAUAGUAUUAGAGCUCUUACAACAUCACAGAUGCAUGACCAAGAUUGUAUUCGACAACCUUUUCUCUGAUCCUUUUCAUCAGUUGGUCCUAAAGAUUCUAUUCUUUUAAAUUCAUCUUCUUUUUCAGUACCAACACACAUUUGUCACUUCAUAUGUCGAACACAAAACACCUAACAUUUUCGAUGACAAACUAGAAGCAACUAAUCAGAAUAUGGGUACGGAGAAUUAAAUUACUCUUUGUACUUAUAGUCCCAAUGGAAACUACUCAUUGAUUCACAAUAUUAAUCACACUAAAAUGCAAGAAAAGCAAAAUCAACAAGCCAUAUCAAAAUAAUAUGAAAAGAUCCCAACAAACCAACCAAACAGAUAACAUUUAAAAACAAAAUUGCAAGUUGGAGGGAAAGAAGCACCAGAAGAUGAAGAGGAAGAAGAAGAGCAUGUUGCAGAAACCCAACUCUGGGUCGAGCUGAGCUUCUCCGCCGCCGUUCUCGCCGGCUCCGAUUUACAUGUCGUCAGUACCAGCGACCUCUGUUUCCCUUCUCUCUCUGCUUACGGGGCAUGGUCUCCCCGAGUCCCACUGCAGCUCAGAAAGAAAGGAAAUGAAAGUCUCUCAAAAAUGACCAUCGCACCCCUGCCUUUCCUAAGGAUUUCGAUGAUAUACAUUUAUAUAUUUGUACAGAUUAUAAUCUACAUCUAUACAGUAAUAAGACGUCUAUGGUAUUCAAUCAUUCCUAAGGAUUUCGAUGGAGCACCAUCGUCAAAAACUUGACAGCAAUGCGCUUUUUCAUUUUUCGGAUUACGAUAUAAAUAUGCCGAUGAUCUUCAUCCGUCGAAUGUUUGUGAUCUCCGUAUGCAUGCUUAGCUUGGUCAGUUUGACCAGUGGCGGUGAUCCUGGUAUACACACAGUCAGAAGCUGCGACGCCACUACUCCCACCAUUGACUGACAGUUCCAAAUUCCCGUCCACCAAUCUAAACAACCUCCUCUCCGCUCUCAACUCCAAUGCCACCAACGAAACAGGCUUCUACGACGCCACCUUUGGUAAGAAACCAACUGAAAUGGCACACGGCUGCUUCCUCUGUCGUGGUGACGUUGAGGUAGACGUUUGUGCGCAAUGCGUGAACGCCGCAAUCCUAAUGGUAGUCCGGAGCUGCCCCACAAGUAAACGGGUUGUAUGGUGGUACGGCAAGAACUGUAUGUUAAGGUACUCAGAUGAGUCAUUCUUUUCCAUUGUGCAAUACUUGCCUGAUUUCAUCGAAACGAUGCUUUCCAUCCAGCCAGUACCGAAAGUUAAUGCAACACUAUCAGAUGAACCAACCGGAUUUAAUCACGUAAUGAAGAGUAUUUUGAAUGAUUUAGUCACCGAGAUUUCCAAGGCUCCUUCCAAGUUUGCAACCAAGGAAGCGCAUGUUGCAGGGUCGAAUAUAUUACGCUGUGCAGCCUUGCGCAGUGCACGCAGGACCUCUCCACUGCAGAUUGCAAUUCCUGUCUUAGGGUAGCCGUAGCACAAGUAGUUUCAACCAAUAAAGGAAUCAAUUGAGGACUAUUUCUGUGUCCCAGUUGUAAUGUCAGGUACGAAACUGUCCCCUUUUACGGGAAACCACCGGUUCAUCAUCUUCAUCUUCGUCCUCCUCCUCAAGGUAAUAGAGUUGAUGAUAUAAAUAUACACAUUUAUAUUAGUGCAUGUCAUGUUGCCGUCACACAAAACGGCUAUGAGAAAUCUUAUCUCAAGUCAACCCUUGGCAUCAAAUCUAAACGGAUCCUUGGAAAACGUUUUCAAACGAUUAUAUUAAAAAACGUGUUCAUGUAUAGGAAGAAGAAAACUAUUGUCAGUAAUCGUCGCCAGUAUUAUUGCUUCUGUUACUGUCUGUGCGGUGCUUGUAGCUAUUGGCUGCUACUUCCCAGGCAAGAGGAGAUCACCACAAAACAAGCAUAAAGUCCAGGGAGAAGAAAAGAAUGGUAAAAAGAAGAAGCAAACAAUUAAAUUCAGUCGAUCACUUGUUCUUUUAUGUUUUCCGAUGUCAAUUACGUGUAAUCUUCUGAUGAACUCAUUAUAAUCACUGCUUAAUUUAAUUUCUUAAUAGCUAGAAAUGAUAUAGCAGCUGUUGAGUCCUUGCAACUUGACUUGGAAACUAUUGAAACUGCACAAACAAGUUUUCUGAUAGUAAUAAGUUUGAUCAAGGCGGAUUUGGUGAAGUUUUCAAGGUAUGGAACUUUAUAUACACAUAUAUAUAUAUAUAUAGACACACACACACACACACACAUAGGUGGGCGUAGCAUAAUUCCUACAUAUACGUGACAUGUAUAUAUAUUUUUCAGCGAACUCUUGGUGUUAAUGGACAAGAAAUAGCAGUAAAGAGGUUGUAGAAAAGCUCGGUGCAAGGUGUACAAGAGCUUAAGAAUGAAGUUCUAUUGAUAGCCAAGCUUCAGCACAGAAAUCUAGUGAAGCUUCUGGGAUUUUGCUUGGAAGGAGAAGAAACCAUACUUGUCUAUGAUAUGUGCCUAACAAAAGUUUUGAUUAUUUUCUAAAUGGUAUAUAAAUACAAUAAUGCAUAUAUCACUUGAAUUGAUCUAUAUAUAUGUGUGUGGUUUGUUUGUUAACUGUCUGUUAUUUCUUACAUAUAUUACUGAUUACUACUCUUUGUUUGUCGAUUAAUGUGAGUAUAGAAUCGAAAAAACGAGAACAAUUGAAUUGGUCAAGACAUUGCAUGAUAAUUGGAGGAAUAGCUCGAGGAAUUCUAUAUCUUCAUGAAGAUUCAAGGCUUAGAGUUAUACAUCGCGAUUUGAAACCGAGCAAUAUCUUAUUAGAUGUUAAUAUGAAACCAAAAAUAUCAGACUUUGGGAUGGAGAGAAUGUUUGGAGUUGACGAUCAAACUGAAGGAAACACGAGAGGAAUUGUCGGUACAUAGUAAGUUUCUUUAACUUAAUUAUACCUCUAUGCUUAAUCUCAAACAACUUAUUUAUAUACCUAUAUAUUGACUUUGAUAACUAUCUCUGAUUGCAACUAUUUUGGACGUAAUUAGUGGUUACAUGACUCCCAAAUAUGCUAUGGGCAGGUUUUACUCCAUAAAAUCAGAUGUUUUUAGCUUCGGCAUACUCUUGCUUGAGAUCGUAACCGGGGGAAGGAACUUUUUAGGCUUUCAUCUCACAGAUACUGCAGCUACUCUUUCAGUACAUGUAAGCAUGAUUAAUUACCUAUCUAUCAACUUAAUUAGACGUGUUACUUUUACAUCCUCGACCGCAUGCAGGCUUGGCAGUUGUGGAAUGAAGGGAAAGUGUUGGAGCUGAUGGAUCCGUUGUAGAAAGAUUCAUGCAGCACAGACGAAUUUUCGAGAUACAUCCAUAUCGGAUUAUUAUGUGUUCAACAAGAUGCCAACCAUAGGCCAACCAUGUCAUCAGUUGCUCUAAUGUUGAAAACUGAAACUAUUAGUUUUUCCGAACCCUAGCAACCGGCCUUCUUUGCCGGAAGAUCUACUGCUCACCGACAUCAAACAAGUGCUCAUAGUUGGUCUACAAAUGGUUUGACGAUUUCAGAAGAUGUCCCGCGUUGAGAAUUUGCUGCAGCGACGAUGGCUUGCGCGAUCAACACACGCCAUCGUCACCAAUCGUAGAUCAACACACGCCAUCGUCACCAAUUGUAGAUAACCAGUCUAUAGUAUAAUGACAAUCAACCAUGUUACAUCAUUUGUCUGGGUCCUGCUUACCAUAUUUCAGAAUGCACUUACAUAGCAUACAAACUUUACAUUACUCCCUUUUUUGAUAGAUUUUAUUUAUUGUCUUUUAAAUUACAAAGAAACAAAUGACAAUUUCCUCGCCGGGAUUUCAACAACUUUCUUAUGCCUAGUUUCUUGCCUAUGAACUCUCCCUACAUACUUUCUGGCUUGUGCUCGUUACUCAAUUACCGCCAACAGGUUUUCUACGAAUACCUGCUCAAUAUAGAUGAAACAAGAAAAUGAGAUGAAGCAGGCGAUGGUAUGUGAGAAAUACAAAUGAAUUUUGACCUUUGAUAUAAUAUUAAACCAUCAUGACAGUUGAAGCAGCGGAUACAAUAUUUAACACAAAUCAUCAUUAUCAUAGAUCAAGAUCAGAUGUUUCCAGCUUCUCUUUUCGGAUUUUGAGUGAGAAAUGGGGAGAAGGUGUUUGGCUAAGAUGGUCUAGAAGUGUAUGAGGAAACUAGAGUCUCAGUGUAUAAGGCAUUCCUUUAGCAGCAAGCAACGAUGACUUGCGACCAACACAAUGAAGAAAGUUGAGAGGCGGAAGAAAGAAUUUUACUGUCGUAUUAUUGUGGCAAAGCUGUUAUAUUAAUUCUAACAAGCUGGACAGAUAAAAACACAACUCUAGAUCCAGUAUCACAUAAGCAUGGGAUCGAACAACUUAACAAGUUGUUCAGAAAACUACAACUUUUAGUGAACAGGCAGAAGUUUUGAACAAUAAAACAUCUCCACAUUGAUGAGCAUAUAAGAAUUAUCCAUGGAAUGAAAUCAAGUAAAAAGCCUACAUGGAUGCAAAUGAUUAUUUAGUCAAUCACAAGCUAGUUAAAUUGUUAUUUUAUGCGUAAACGGAACAAAGACCACUUAAUACGUUCCUAGAAGACCACUUAUCAAUGUCUAGAAAGAGCCUGACCAUCAAUAGCAGUAAAGUUUUCGGGCUCCUUUAAGGAAUACGUACCUACAGAGCUCUUGCUCCAAAGAGCCUGACCAUCAAUAGCAGUGAGGUGCUCGUCAUCAAGGCGCUUCCAUGUUUUGAUUGACUUGACCGCUCCCCAUCCUCCCUUUUGCGUUUUCUCUAAGUUUGCUACCACAACCCUUGCUCUCCGAUCCCAUCCAGCCUUCCCAUAAGCAUGGUAUCCAAAUCCCCCAGCAUAACAAAGGUUUAUGCCAGUUAGCUCCCCGCAGAAGUCAUUGAGGUGAUCGUGACCUGUGAACACUGCCUUGACAUCUCCAGCUGCAACCAUGGUUGUGAAGAAGCCCGAGUUCACAGAAGCAGAGCUGAUGUCUUCUUGCCUCACUCCGGUAAAGUUUGAUGAGUCAAAACUAGCAAAUUCCGGCAAUGGUAUGUGAAAGUAUGCGAGCCCUGGCGCAGGUGCUUUCUGGGGCAGUGGCUUGCUUAUGUAUGCUUUCUGCAGGGGAAAAAAUGGUGUCAUCAGAACUAAGUAGAAAUAAGUUACAUGCUCAAUAUGGAUCUUAAUCAUCACAUAUCGAUCUUGUGCAAGGGUUGAUGGAAAUGACUAGUUUAGGUAUAUGUGAUCCAUAAAAAAAACGGUGAGCAAAAUAACGAGGUUAGUACCUGAAGCUUUGCAGAAGUUUGUUCAACCAAUAUUGUUGGGAGGGUUUGAUCCAACCAUAACCACCGAUGGAGGGAACCGUGGAGUAAUCUCCGCUGUCAAGGAAGUAAAGAUUGAGAACCGAUUUGUUUUCAAAACCAGAGCCCUCAACUCCGGCGACCUCCAGGUUAUAGUUCCCAAAACCAUCAAUAACAUCUUUGUCUAAAGGAUUAACUUGAGCCAGAGUGUUCUUCAACCCAACUAUGUGUUUCAUUACCCCUUCCCUCGAGAGGUCGGAUUCCUGAUCAUGGUUCCCCAGCACAGCUGCCCACGGGAUGUUGGACGCGAUUGCUGGGGCGUAUGCCUCGUUCAAAGAUUUAGCACCAUUCGUGGCAUCAAACCCGAAUAUGUUAUCUCCUGUUACACAAAGUUCAGAUUGGAGAACCAAUCAGAAAGCCGAGUAUCAUGCCUAAAUCAAAACUUUGCUAAACAAAAUACAAUGCUCAUCAGCUAAAACGAUGUACUAUGCUAAACCUAAACCAAUGAUCAUCAGCUAAAUAGUGGACAGAAGAUUAAUCCUAUCCCAAGAACAAUGUAUAGGCAUCAACAACAACGAUGAGAGGGGGAAACAAAUACCGG
This 52319-nucleotide long non-coding RNA is filed under the name Malus domestica (apple). RNAcentral describes it as "long non-coding RNA (MDOM_LNC000975)". Lineage: Eukaryota; Viridiplantae; Streptophyta; Magnoliopsida; Rosales; Rosaceae. The record is from RNAcentral.